RNAcentral lists this long non-coding RNA (46207 nucleotides) under Citrus sinensis (sweet orange). RNAcentral's name for it is "long non-coding RNA (CSIN_LNC000969)". Lineage: Eukaryota; Viridiplantae; Streptophyta; Magnoliopsida; Sapindales; Rutaceae. The record is from RNAcentral.
AAUGGCCUCUAUUGAUUUCUUCCUUGGCAUUUUUGCUCAUAGCCACUACUGCCACGGCUGCUUAUGAGCCUUACAUUUAUGCCUCACCACCUCCACCGCCUUACUAUUACAAGUCACCACCACCACCAGAAUAUUCUCCACCACCACCUUACUACUACAAAUCUCCACCACCACCUGAGAAGUCUCCCCCGCCACCUUACUACUAUCACUCACCACCUCCUCCUAAGAAGUCACCCCCACCACCUUACUACUAUAAGUCUCCGCCUCCGCCGAAGGAAUAUCCCCCACCACCUUACUACUACAAGUCUCCGCCACCACCGGAGAAGUAUACCCCGCCACCUUACUACUACAAGUCUCCGCCCCCACCCGAGAAGUAUACCCCGCCACCUUACUACUACAAGUCACCGCCCCCUCCGCCACCUUACUACUACAAGUCUCCGCCACCACCGGAGAAGUAUACCCCGCCACCUUACUACUACAAGUCACCGCCCCCACCCGAGAAGUAUACCCCGCCACCUUACUACUACAAGUCACCGCCCCCACCGGAGAAGUAUCCCCCUCCACCUUACUACUACAAGUCACCGCCCCCACCGGAGAAGUAUCCCCCUCCACCUUACUACUACAAGUCACCGCCCCCACCAGAGAAGUAUCCCCCUCCACCUUACUACUACAAGUCACCGCCCCCACCAGAGAAGUAUCCCCCUCCACCUUACUACUACAAGUCACCGCCCCCACCAGAGAAGUAUCCCCCUCCACCUUACUACUACAAGUCACCACCGCCACCAGAGAAGUAUCCCCCUCCACCUUACUACUACAAGUCACCACCGCCACCACCUUAUUAUUAGAAGUCUCCUCCACCUCCCUCUCCAUCUCCACCCCCUCCAUACUACUAUAAGUCGCCACCUCCUCCUUCUCCAUCUCCACCCCCACCGUACUAAUAUUUGUCUCCUCCACCUCCUAAAGGCUACUAAAUAUACAAUGUGUUGUUGAAACAUGUGUGAUCUUAGUUAUGUAAGAAUAAGUGUAAGUUUGUAAGCUUGUUCUAUUUCUGAUUUUUUCUUCAUCAAUGUUUUUGUGAAUAAAAGGAUUUGAGAUGGUAAAUCCAUUUGUAAGAAGUGCUGCUCAUUUUCGUUGUAAAAGUUAUUGUAAGCAAUAAGAUCUCGUAAUUUAAGGUUUCAUAAAAGUUAUAUGUGCAACUACUUUCAAUUUCCAUUGUCAUCUUUUUCACAACCACCAAGCGUAUUACUUCUUUAUAGAUGGAAAAUGCAGAGGCAAGCUUAUUAUUCUUUAAUAUUACCAUUCUUGAUGUGUUUGUUUAUUUAGUUGAAACGGUAAAUAAAAUGUACAUGAAGUACCGCACUGCAUCCAAAUUAAAUUUAGGAUAUAGACUAAGUUCAUGUAAUCUCAAUUUUGUCACAUUAUUAUUGGAUUUUAUAUAAAUAGCUAAUUUCUUUUCCUUCCGAAUUUCGACGGGAAGGAGAAUUUAUUAAGUAAUACAGAGAAGUGCACCUAGUAAUAUUUAAAGAGGAUAUAAUGAGCACUACCUUUCAUGAUGAUAAUGCCCAUGAACAAGUAAGAGAAGCUUAGAGUUUUAUUCCUACUCAAAUCAGAUUCUACGGAGGAGUUAUAUUCGUACCUUUUUAACGCUUUACAUAUAUGAUUAGAGAAUUAUGAGGACAUAAAUUCCGCUAUAAAUUUGUUGUUAUAUUUAGAGGAGUUUACAUGACUGGAGAAUUAUACACACAUAAAUUCUUUGAUGUCCAUUUUAAAUUAUAUUCCAAAAGGGAAAAUGUUUUCCGUUUAUGGUUUAAAAAUAGAAGCUUUGUGCUUUUUUUUUUUAAAAAAAAAAUCUAGAUCAUUCAGUGAAUAUUGGUUGUUAAUUUACUGCCAAAAUACUCGUAAGUUUAUUUAUUUAUUCUGUAAUGCAACUUUUGGGAUACAUAAUAAUCAUAUAAAUAAAUAAACUAUAUUGUAAUAUAUUUCAAUUAACUUGUUGACUUGUAUGAAAAGAGCGUGUCAUUACCUUUUAUGCCUAAUUAAAUUUACAAUUUUAGUCCCUAUGAUUUUUUUUUUUCAAUCAUUAAUUCCAUGCUCUUAUGAGUAGAAACAUAUGUAGAAUUUUGAUAUUUAAGAGUUGGUGGAGUUUCUAUGAUAUUUUGUACCUGUGGCUCAUCAUUUCACCACGGUGGGCAACUUCAUGGAUUUUGUCCUCUAAAAGGUAGCACUCUAACUUAAGAUGCCAUGUUCUUCAGAAAGUUAUCAAAUAGUUGAAUAGUUAUAUUAAGUUUAUUAUUGAUAAGAAUCUUAAUUAACUAGAUAUAGUACUUAAUAUACAAUGUUUUAUUCGUGAAAUUGUUGAACUAUUUUCACCAUUUUUCAAUGUCAUUUUCAGGAUGAGCUAUCAUUUGGAAUUUCAUUUUCUAUGGACUCUCACUUUUUCCCAUAACCACUUUUUUUGUUUAUAUUUUAUCAGAUUAAUUAUUCCUUGUUUGUUUAGAAGGAGCUUUCAUAUUGGAGAAAUACAUUACGUAUCUUAUAAAUCUAUGCAUCUUUACCUUUUUUUUUCCCAAAAUAAUUAAAAAAAAAAAAACCUCACCAAUGACCAAUCCAAUGUUCAAUAUGAAAAGUUUGAAGAAAAAAUGGUGUGAACUAAAACAAAAUAUAUAAUUUUGUCACAAUCCAAGAAAAAAAAAUCAUUAUAAAAUAUAAUUAAGAGGUAGCCACCUUCUCUACAUCAAUUUGUCACAAAACUAUAUCAGUGAGAUAUAUGCAAGACUCACCCAUUGGUACAAAAGAAAAUGAUCAAAGUGGAAGCAAAAAUGUGGUGAUAAUUUAGAUGAUCUCCACUCCCCAUUUAGUUUCAUUUAUUAAGUUAAUGUUUAAUCAAGAGUCUAAUUACUCAUUUUAUUAUGUUAUUAAUCAACUGCCGCCCCUUCCACUGGUUCAUUAUUUUUUAUGGAAUACAAAAAACAGACAAUAAUAUUCUUUGACAUAGCUAGGAAUAUAGCCCACUUGCAAGAGACUUACAUUCCAUCGCUCCCUAAUUUCCCGUGUAACAUCUUAUCUUGCAUCACAUCAGAGACGUGUUCGUUUGCACAGCCAUUUCGUGAAUAUAAAAUUGCUGCCGAAUAAGCAUCUAAUCAAAAGAAUUUGUCAACGGUAUAAAUUAAAAUAUAAAAAACGAGUAAAAGAAUUUGUCAAUAGGAUAUGGGAGGCCAUGGCUUCAAUCGGUUUGUGCAAUGGUCAAUGGCAUAUUUUUGCUCAUCGUCACCACUGAAUCCACUGAUCAUUUGUGCAUGUGAGUUGUUUUUGAGCAUUUAUUUUUCCCUUUAGAAGCAUAAGGAUAAGGCUAGUCUUCUUUUUGGGAGGACUUAUUGCUUCCAUUCGUUAAAAUUGGGCAUGUAAAAUGUCAAGAAAAAAUGGCCUAAGUGGCUAGCUAGAUGAUAUAAUGGAUGGUUACUACUCAAACCUAGCAAUAAAUGAAUGUCCGACAAGCAUUCAAAUGAAUGAAUAAAACCAAUCAGAUUAGAAUAUCUAUUUAUGAUAGAUUAAUGAAAAUACGAUUCAAAUAUAAGGUAAAUAAUCUCUCCAUUAAUUUUUUAUUGUUUCAGGCAGGGUUGCCAAGCCUCUGUCCGGGCUUCUAUAAGCUCAAUUCCAGCUCUCCUAUAUGAUUGAAUUAGAUCGGGCUAGGCCCUCGGACUUUUUAAUUAAAAAAGGUCGAUUUUUAAGUUUAUGAAGUUAAUACACUCACGCUUAUACUUUAAUAUUUUUAUUAUUUGGCUUUUAGAAUAUUAACGUGUAAAUUACUUUUUUUUUUCAAGUGAAAUAAUUAUCACAUUUUGUCUUCUUAGUAUAUAUUUCUACCUUUUUGUUCCUAUAGAUAUUUCCUCAUUUCAUCUUUGGUACUAGAGCGUAGUAAAAAAACACAUGAUUAAAGAUAAAUAUGACAUUUUAACUAACAAAUUAAUUAUUUGUAUCUAAGAUCUAGCUCUAGUGGUAAAGAUCAAUUUUCAUCGAAUUCAAGUCUUGGGUUUGAAUUUAAAUGCAUGGGUAAGUUAAUAAUAAUAAUAAUAAUAAUAAUAAUAAUAAUAAUAUCAAAUUAACUAGCUUUAAUUUGCAAAGGUCUUAGAUAAUCAAUUCGCUUGUAAAAAUAUCAAAAUUUUUUUUAAUCAAUGAAAUUUUCAAGUCUCUAGUUUUAGCACAAGGAAUGAAUUAAAAGAGUAAUGAUAAAUAUUUUACAAUUUUAUCCCAAAUGAUAAGACAUGUCAUGUGUCAUGUAUUAAGUGAUUGAUGAUUUUUUUAUAAAUUUUAAGUGGAUGAAAUAUAUUAUUUCACCAACCAGUAAAUGAAUAUGACAUCAUUUGAGAAGGAAUUUUAUGGUACAAUUUUGAAAUAUUUAUCACUACUCAAUUAUAUACAGUAUAAAAAAUCUAAUAGGGACCAAAAAUAUAAAAACAGAUUAAGAAUAAAAAAUAUAAAAGUCAAUUCCUAAUUAGGAGAAUGAAAGUGUCAUUCCCCUGUAAUCAUUUCACUAGAUAUUAUGUAAAUAUAUUAAGGCAAAAUUUUAAUAGAAAAUUGGUACCCAAACCUAACGUCUUUGACAUUGCUGCCAAGAUCACUCACAACUUACAAGAAUAAAAAAUUGGUAUUAAAUUUAUUAAUGUUCUCAAGGAAUUUUUAGCUUGACUUUACAUUUCUCGGACCCAUUUGUCACAUAACACCUUAGUUCGUUAACAAAGCCCUUUCAUGAGAAUAUUAGAACUGCUGUCGAAUAAGCAUCUUAACAACCCCUUUUUGACAUACAUGCAUGCCUCCUUCUGUGAACAAUUUGAAACAUAAAAUAAAAUUUCAAUCGAUGUGAGGGUUGGAGUAUUUUAUAGCUUUUGACCUCAUUAAUUAUGAGUAAGAGAAUAUUUCUACGUCACUAAUGGUUAAAAUGAUCACUAUAUAAAGGGUAGCAAAGUAUGUUUAACAUCAAGUCAGAAAACACAAUUUUUAGGAAAUGGGAACUCGGGGACAAGCGAGGCAAUGGCCUCAAUUGUUUUGUGCUAUAGCAUUUUUGCUUAUAACCACCACCACCAAGGCAUCGGCUGAUGAUUAUGCCUCAGCACCACCACCAAAGUAUUCUUCUCCACCUCCUUACUACUACAAAUCACCACCUCCUCCUUCUCCCUCUCCACCUCCACCAUAUUAUUACAAGUCUCCCCCACCACCAUCUCCGUCUCCUCCACCACCUUACUACUACAAGUCACCACCACCACCAGUGCAUUCUCCCCCGCCACCUUAUUACUACAAAUCUCCGCCGCCACCAAAGUAUUCUCCCCCGCCACCUUAUUACUACAAAUCUCCACCGCCACCAAAGCAUUCUCCCCCACCACCUUACUACUACAAAUCUCCACCGCCACCAAAGCAUUCUCCUCCACCACCUUACUACUACAAAUCUCCACCACCACCAAAACACACCUUACUAUUAUAAAUCACCACCUCCACCAAUGAAGUCUCCACCUCCGCCAUAUUACUAUAAAUCACCACCACCACCAAAGCAUUCUCCCCCGCCACCUUACUACUACAAGUCUCCACCACCACCAAAACAUUCCCCACCACCACCUUACUACUAUAAGUCACCGCCUCCACCAGUAAAGUCUCCACCACCGCCCCCAAAGCAUUCUCCCCCACCACCUUAUUAUUACAAAUCACCACCUCCACCAGUGAAGUCUCCACCUCCGCCACCUUACUAUAAAUCACCACCACCUCCAAAGCAUUCUCCCCCUCCACCUUACUAUUAUAAAUCACCACCUCCACCAAUGAAGUCUCCACCUCCGCCAUAUUACUAUAAAUCACCACCACCACCAAAGCAUUCUCCCCCGCCACCUUACUAUUAUAGAUCUCCACCACCACCAAAGCAUUCUCCCCCACCACCUUACUACUAUAAGUCACCACCUCCACCGAAGAAAUCCCCACCUCCACCAUAUUAUUAUAAGUCGCCACCACCACCAAAGCAUUCUCCCCCACCUCCUUAUUAUUACAAAUCUCCACCACCACCAAAGUAUUCUCCACCACCACCUUACUAAUACAAAUCUCCACCAACGCUAUCUCUAUCCCCACCUCCAUCUUACAUUUAUAAAUUCCCACCUCCACCAUCUAUAUCACCUCCACCACCACCUCCAUCACUGUCACUAUUGCCUCGCUACUGUUCCAAGUCAUCACCACCUCCUGAAGACUACUAAGUUCAAUGUUCCGUCUUCAAACAAAUUUAAAAUUCAAUAAGAAUAAAUUUGUUCCUUCAGUUGCCUUUUUCAUGAAUUUUUAUGUUAAUGUUUUUACGAAUAAUUUUUAAGAAGCGUUCGGUGUAUCAUUGUCAUGUGCAAUAAAAAUUUUCUAACUUAAUGUACCCAAAAAAAAAUGUUCCACAAGAAAUAUUCUAUUGUUUUAUCACAAAUGUGUUGUGGCACAUGUAAUGCGCCUAGAUAAAGUAAUAUUAUGUCUUGAUGAACAAUCAUGCACAACAAUGAUCAUGUACAUAGUUCUUCCAAUGUCAUGAUAAUGUCCAUGCACAUAAUAACAAACUUCUUCCUUGUAAUAUCAAAGAAAAUGAAUAUACAAGCCUCUUAUUCUCUAAUCAUUCACUCAAACAACAUUGUUUUAAUUUAGGUUUUGAUCAAUCUUAAUGCUCAUAAAUGCUAACUACAAAUCAUAUACAAGAUCAACAAAAACCAUAUUUUAAAUGAAUUAGAAAAACAAACAUUAGACUUAACCAAGUAGUUAACCUUUAUUAUUCUCCUAGGUAGAUUACAAGCUAUCACUGAAAAAAAAAAUCAUCUAAAAUGGUGAACAAAUGCGCUCUAAAUCAGUUGCAUUCAUUUGUUCAGCUAAGCAAUAAAAUAACCCUUUUCCAUUUUAACUUAUAUACUUUGGCAUGGUAACUUUAAAUAACACCCUCAACUUGACAAAUUUUAAUAACCAAAGCGAUCAAUAACUGUAAAUCUUGACAAAAUUUUUUACUUUAGUUAAAGCCAUAAACAUAGUAUUAAAUAAAAUGAAAAAAAAGGCCAUAAACAUAGUGUUGAAAUACCUUUAUACUUGUGAACUAACUUUUGAUGUUGAUUAAGCUCAUGUACCCUCAACUUUUGUAUUAUGAAUAUGCUUAUGCCCUAUCUUAGGUCUCCUCUAUGAACUCCUCCAUGAACCACUUUUUUUUUUUUUUUUAAAAAAUAAAUUCAUUAUGAUACUAAGGUAUAAGCAGAAGUAAAAUUCCUUUAAUAUUAUUGUAAUCAGGAUGUGGCUACCUAGGUGAUACAUGAAUUGGUUAUUUGUACAUUUUACUACAUUUUUUUGAGUUUGCUUGCUAUUUUUCUCUUUGUUCCAAUAAUUCCCACACGAGGAUAAUCUCAUUUUAACAAAGAAAGAUACUACUGAAAUACAACAAAACAUAAAUUCUAAUAUACUAGAAAAUUUUUUUUUCUUUGCCUUUUCAUAUCUUAGAGUUAUGUUUUUAUCCUCUUGUAGUGGCAUAUAUGCAUUUUAACUAGAAUAUUCUUAUUUGAGAAUUAUUAAUAAGAGAGUGGUAGACAAAUGAUACAAAACUAUGCUGCUUCACGAUUAACAACACAUUCAAUCGAGUAACGAUAGAGAGUCAAUUCUAACACCACGAGAAAGCAAACAAAAGUUGAAAUAUUUUAGCGAAUACCUUUUAAAGUUUGAAUUAAUAAUAAAAUUGUCCCAAAAAACUGCCUUAAUGGAAUUAAUGUGGAGAUUUAGUGGUAGGGUGCAUCAAUAUCAUUUUCCAGAAAAAAAAUAGUCAAAAUAUGAAAGGUUUGUUCUGCAGGUGGUUGAUAUUGCUGUACAUUAAUAUCAAUGAUACGUACCAAAUUCUAUUAUAAAAUUCAUUAAUGUAUAAGUAGAAUAUUUAAUAAAUUAAUUCCGGGUAAAACGUCGGUGAUAUGAACAGUAGCGAAGCUGCAACCGGGUUAGCUUUUUUUUUUAAUAAAAAAAUAGUUAAUUAUAAUUUAUGAAUUUGCCUUUAUUAAUACUUAAAAAAAUAAAAAUAAAUUUAAUAGCCCACCCCGAUGCUAGCUAAGCUAAAAAUAAAAUAUAUCGAAUAAAUGGUGAAGAGAAAGCUGUAAUAAUUAUCGUAAUUACAGUGAGAAGCUGUAAUUUUCUUGAACACGCUUUGACGUACGAUUAGCAAAAAAGUCGUCUGUCUAUAAGCAAUUGGCCGUACAGCAUCUUAACUAUUCCGUUGACAUUGUAAUUAAUUAAUUGAUGACUUUUCUAUAAUUUCUUUGAACCAAAUGCAGAUAUUUAGUGGGCAACCCGCAACCCUUGCUUGGCAAAAUAUAGGAAAGAAAAACUUGAAAUUUAUAAAUGUUACAUUUUGUUUGGAUGAAUAAUUUUGAGAUAAUGUUUCAGUUUUAGAUUUUGUUACCGAUACCUAAUUAUAAUAAUAAAAAAUAUUGCAUCAUUUUUUUACCAACAGUUACAAUACAUUUUAUUUUUUUUUCUUCUCAAUAUUUAAACUCGAAUAAUCAGUUAAAAGUUGCUCGAGAAUGUUUAAAAGCCAUUUAAGUAUACCACGUCAUUCAUGUUUUGCAAUCAUUCAAUUGUUAAUAAGUUUCCCAUGUGCUGAAAAUAAAUAAAAAUGCACGUGCAUAUGUCAUAUUGUCUCCGAAACCUCACAGCGGAAUGAGUGUAGUACUUGCAAUGCAUGUACUUUAGACUUUGUAUUUCUCUUAUUUAAAUGAUCAAUAAUUUUUCUUUGUCCUUUAAUUAGACGUCAACAGUCGAAGUUGUGGGCAAGUAGUAGGCUAUAUAUAAUAAUUUCCUGGAGAUCUUCCGUCUUCUAAGACAUUGCAAAUGCCAAACGUGAUAACUAUUUUGAUAAUUCAAAUACUACAUAAAAUAUAUGAAGUGUCAGACAAGUCAAAAGAAUUGAUUCUUCACAAUUGUAUAUACGUAUACACACACUUUGCCCAAAUCCCAUUGUAUCCAGGCUGUAAUUUUUAUAUUAAACGAACAUAUUUUAUUUUAUGUCAGCAAUAUUGAUGCAGGCUGGUGGAACAACAGCUUCAGGAUGGUCAACUACCCUUCGGAUCAUUGCAAGUGGGAUGGCAUCACUUGCAAUUCAGAUGGAACCAUAAUCGGGCUAAAAUUAUCAGGGUAUGAUGUUGACUUCAAAAGGUAGUCUUCGUAAAAUUAUCAUGGUAUAAUAUACGUAUUUAUUUUCGCAUACAUAAAUAAAUAACAAAAUUGUAAUUAAUUGGAUACAACUUCAGCUUUUGGACUGGUUUGUGAAAAUCGGAAAAAUUUAAAAAUGCUCCUCUUGAACAAUCAAAAUCUACUUUAUACGUGAACAAAGGGGAUGAUUCGUAAAGAUAAUUCAUCAAUGUUUGAUUACUUUCAGAAAGAUAGACUUCAUUUGAUCUCGUCCCAAAGCAUAAUUUCACUUUGAAUUUGAAAAAGAAUAAUGAAGUUCAUACGAUGCUGUUGUGACCUUUUUUUUUUGUUUUCUUUUUUUCUCGACGUUGUUUUGUGAAUCAUAAGGGUUAAUUUAGUACGGUGGGUUCGCUUGUAUGAAGCGUACUUAUUGUACCAUUCUGUUGCAAGUAAUGAAAAAACGCUAUAAUUUUUUUUAGGUUUCUACAAGUAUUAUGUUAUCUUAUAUCUAACUGUGCAUCUCUAUUCUUUGCUCUCAGUUCAGGUUCUCUAAAAGUAUAUUAAUUAUGAAAAGCAUUAAAGGUUCCGAAACUCUAUUUUGCGGGGAAAAAGAACCUCCAUUUUUGGUUUUUUAUUAUCAUAAGAGGUUUUACUAUGCUCGUAAUAACUUAAUCGAAAUUAAACAUAUCACUGGUCUACAUUUUUUUAUCAGAUUUUGUGCCUUGCUAAUUAAGAUGAGUAUCACCAUCAAAUCAACAAGCUUAUACCUUCAAAGAAAAAUAGACUAUAAGUCGGGAGAAAGAAGAAGAAAAAAAAAAAGAAGCUUCGCAAUUUAUGCUGUUGGUUGUGAGUUCAUGAAACAAAUAAAAAUAUGAAAUCAAACAUUUAUUCAAAAUUUAAAAUUAAAAAAAAAACUCUAUAUCUACAGUAAUCUGUUCAAACCACAUAGGUGGAGCAAUAUAGUUCCAAGACGUGGUUUUAAAACAUGUCUUUGUGAUAAACAAUAUCGUGAUACUUGCGCCAAUUCCCAUGGCAAUAAUUGCCUACAUUUAUCCAAGAUCCAUGGCCAGGUUUAGAAUGUGCUAGUCUUCUUUCACUUUCAUAAAUAACCACUACUAGGUAAUCAGAGUGUCGGUCUAAAUUUUUCGGAGAUACAACGUCAAUGUAUGUGCCCGGAGUUGAAGCUGAACGCGCUUAAAUAUGUUCGGAAUUUGAAGUUGAACGCCUGGAAAAGGAUGCAGACUGAAGAAAGGCAAUUCCUGGAAUUUGUCUUUGGUAAGAAAACAUGGCUGCUUAUGCCCUUUGAAAGACUGAAGAAACCAAAUUGAUUAUUGCUGCAAUUUAGUGGCACAUGUACGAGGAGAGGCAUCCAAUUAAACUUGUUCAUAAAAGUAUUGCUGAUAGUUGCAGCCGAUCUCCAGACAAAAUCUUCGUACAAUUUUAUCCGCCAGCAAUUUCGACCAAGAGACCUUGAUGCAGUUCAGACCAAUUCGCCAGUUGAACAUCAAGUUGCCUAGGCAUUGAGAAUUAGGUCAAUAAAAUAUAUCCUGGGUCACUUACAAAAGAUGAAAUAAGUGAAAAAGGAAAGAUGACGUAAUAAUUUCUUAGUGAGAAAAGUUAGUUAAUUUUCAAUUGCUUUCAUUGUUUUGAUAAUUUUCAAAACAUUUCAUUGCUUUCAUUGCGUAAUUAAGCUUUUUUUGCUUCAAAAUAUUUCAAAUUGUGUUUGUGGGACUACUAAACAAUUAGGACACAACAAUGUUUCGUUCUGGUCUUUUUUUUUUUUUACUUUUUAAUUUAUUUUAAGAAAAUCUUUGUCCAUCUCUCAUCCUGCCAAAUAUAUCGUCUCGUCUUGUUAUCUAGAAUAAUUCUUCAUGCAUCAAUGAGUUUUGACAAAUUUUUAUCUUUUAAAAGUUGUUGUAAUUCAAUAUAGCUAAAAUCUUAAAUACAUACAUGUAGAAUAAUCUAAGCAUUACCUUAUUCGGGGAAAAUCGAGAUUAGAAUCAAUCAAAGCAAUGAUACCUUAUAUCAGUGAGAUAUAUGCAAGACUCACCCAUUGGUACAAACGAAAAUGAUCAAAGUGGAAGCAAAAAUGGAAUCCUCAAAUGUGGUGAUAAUUUAGAUGAUCUCCACUCUCCAUUUGGUUUCAUCUAAUAAGUUAGUGUUUAAUUAAGAAUUUAUUACUCAUUUUAUUAUGAUAUUAAUCAACUGCCGUCCCUUCCAUUAGUUCAUUAUUUUUGAUGGAUUACGAAAGACAGACAAUAAAAUUCUCCAAAACUGUUGUAAGAGUAAUAUUGUAAAAGUUACAUAAAAGUGAGGAUAAGGAUAAUUUGAGGUAUGUUUCAAGAUAUAAAGAUUAAAUAAAUUCUUAACUCAAAAUAAAGAGAUUUAUUUUUUUUAAAAGAGAUUAAAAUGUCAUGAUAAAUAAAUAAGGGAGGUGAUAUUCUGGGCUCUCCCCUGGCUUUUUGUGAUAACAUCUUAAAUUAAUAUAAAUAGUUAAAAUUUUAUUAAAAAAUAAAUUUUUACCUAAUACUCUUUGACAUAGCUAGGAAUAUAGCCUACUUGCAAGAGACUUACAUUCGUUUGCACAGCCCUUUCGUGAAUAUAAAAUUGCUGCCGAAUAAGCAUCUAAUUAAAAGAAUUAGGAAUUUGUCAACGGUAUAAAUUAAAUAUAAAAAACGAGUAAAAGAAUUUGUCAAUGGGAUAUGGGGGGCUAUGGCUUCAAUCGUAGGGGUGGGCAAAUUUCGGAUUCCGAAUCCGAUCGGAUUUUGGAUAAUUCGGAUUGGGAAAAAAUCCAUCCAAAUUCAAUCCGAACCUUAAAUCUGUUUCGAUCCGAGAUAAUUUCGGAUCCGGAUCAGAUUCGGAUGAGUUUGAAUUUCAGAUUAUAUUUCAAGUUCGGAUUAUAUUUUGGAUUCGGAUUAAUUCGGGUUUGGGACCUUUUUACAAUUCUCACAAAAAAAUUAUGAAAUUUAUAAUUAAUGAAAAAUAAUUUCCAUGAUGCUGUCAACAAUAAUUAAUAUUUUGAAAACGCAAUAACGGAAUUUUCAAAAAAAAGAAAAAGAAAACACAGGAACGGUAUUGAUAAAGAAUUUUCAUUAGCCAUUUGUGACUGCUAACUAAAUUGUAACAACUAAGUAAAAUAUAAUAAUAAUAAUAAUACAUGCGGGUAUAUUCAAAGCAACUAAAUCACUUGCGAAUGAUCAAGACAAAUCGUAUAAACAAGUAAAAAAUUCAAAGUUUCAAACGCAAAUCGUCGGGGGCUAUCGGAUUAGUGGAUUACCAUUAACAAGACGAGGUUUAUGUCGGUGUGAGUUGCUCAUUGUGGGUCUGGAUGAUGUCGCGAUGGCUGGGUUUGUGCCAACUAUGAUCCAGCUAGGUUUGUAUCGAAUCUGAUCUCGUCUAGAGGACGUUGUGGCGGCUGGGUUUGUGUCGAAUUCAUUCGGUUUGUCUCGUCGGCGACAUGGUUGUUGGUUGGCUCGUCAGGUUGUGGCCCGUGGGUGUGGUGUGGUUUGUUGUCGUGGAUUGACUUAUCAAAGGGCGUGCGACGAUGGUGUGUGGUUUUGUCAUUUGGAAAUUGAGUUUUGAUUUUUCAUUUUCGUUUUUUUAAAAAAAAAUUUUUGGAUUAUUCGGAUUGAACUGAAUCUUAUCCGAUCCAAAUCAAAUCCGAUCAGAUUACAAAAAUUUCAUCCGAUUGGAUUUUAAAGCAAAUCCAAAUCCGAUCCGAACAAAUUCGGAUCGAAUUGGAUUAGAUCGGAUCUAUCCGAAUCUGAUCCAAUGUCCACCCCUAUUCAAUCGGUUUCUGCAAUGGUUAAUGGCAUAUUUUUGCUCAUCGUCACCACUGCAUUCACUAAUCAUUUGUGCACGUGAAUUGUUUUUGAGCAUUUAUUUUGCCUUCGUUAAAAUUGGGCAUGUAAAAAUUUCAUGAAAAAUGGCCAAAGUGGCUGGCUAGGUGAUAUAAUGGAUGGUUACAACUCAAACCUAGCAAUAAAUGAAUGUCCGACAAGCAUUCAAAUGAAUGUAUAAAACCAAUGAGAUUAGAAUAUCUAUUUAUAAUAGACUAAUUAAAAUACGAUUCAAAUAUAAGGUAAAUAGUCUCUCUAUUAAUUUUUUAUUGUUUCAGGUAGGGUUGUCGAGCCUUUGUCCGGGCUUCUGUAAGCCCAUUUCCAGCCCUCUUAUAUGAUUGGAUUAGAUCAGGCUCGGCCCACCAGGCCGGGCUAAAUCUUGAGCUCUUUUUAAAUAAAAAAAAGUUGAAUUUUAAGUUUUUGAAGUUAAUAUAUAUACACACACACUUGUACUUAAAUAAUUUAUAAAUUUUUUAAAAGCCAAAUAAUAAAAAUAUUGACAUGUAAAAGUACAAUUUUUUUUUCAUGUGGAAUAAUUAUCUCAUUUCUACCUUUUUGGUCCUAUAGAUAUUUCCUCAUUUCAUCUUUGGUAUUAGAGCAGUAGUAAAAAGACACACGAUUAAAGAUAAAUGUGACAUUUUUACCGACAAAUUAACUAUUUGGAUCUAAGAUCUAGCUCUAAUGGUAAAGACUAGUUUUUAUAGAAUUCAGGUCCUGGGUUUGACUUCCAAUUGCGUGGGUAAGCUAAUAAUAAUAAUAAUAAUAAUAACAAAUUAACUAGUUUUAAUUUGCAAAGGUCUUAGAUAAUCAAUUCGUUUGUAAAAACAUCAAAUUUAUUUUCAGUAAUGAAAUUUUCAAGUCACUGGUUUUAGCACUAGGAAUGAAUUAAAUAGAGUAAUGAUAAACAUCUUAAAAUUUUAUCCCAAAUGAUAUGACAUGUAAUGUGUCAUUUAUUAAGUGGUUGGUGAUUUUUCAUAAAUUUUAAGUCGAUUAAUUAUAUUAUUUCACCAACCAAUAAAUGAACAUCACAUCAUUUGAGAAUGAAUUUUAAGGUAAAAUUUUAGAUAUAUAUCAUUACUCAAUUAUUUUUUAUAGUAUAAAAUCUAAUAGGGACCAAAAAUAUAAAAACCAAUUAAGAAAAAAAAAGUCAAUUCCUAAUUAGAAGAAUGAAAGUGUCAUUCUCCUAUAAUCAUUUCUCAAGUUUUUAUAUAAAUUUAUUAAUGCAAAAUUUUAAAAGAAAAUCGGUACCUAAAACUAACGCCUUUGACAAUGCUGCCAAUAUCACUCACAACUUACAAGAAUAAAGAAUUUGUAUUAAAUUUAUUAAUGUUCUCAAAGAAUUUUUAGUUUUGACUUUACAUUCUCAGACCCAUUUGUCACAUAACAUCUUAGCUGAUUAACAAAGCCCUUUCGUGAGAAUAUUAAAACUGCUCUCGAAUAAGCAUCUUAACAACCCCGUUUUUGACAUACAUGCAUGCCUCCUCAUGUCAGCAAAUUUGAAACAUAAAAGAUAAUUUCAAUCGAUGUGAGAGUUGGGAGUAUUUUAUAGCUUUUGACCUCAUUAAUUAUGAGUAAGAGAAUAUUUCUACGUCACUAAUGAUUAAAAUGAUCACUAUAUAUAUAAAGGGUAGCAAAGUAUGUUUAACAUCAAGUCAGAAAACACAAUUUUUAGGAAAUGGGAACUCGGGGACAGGCGAGGCAAUGGCCUCAAUUGUUUUGUGCUAUAGCAUUUUUGCUUAUAGCCACCACGACCAAGGCAUCGGCUGAUGAUUAUGCCUCAGCACCACCACCAAAGUAUUCUUCUCCACCUCUUUACUACUACAAAUCACCACCUCCUCCUUCUCCCUCUCCACCUCCACCAUAUUAUUACAAGUCUCCCCCACCACCAUCUCCGUCUCCUCCACCACCUUACUACUACACGUCACCACCGCCACCAGUGCAUUCUCCCCCGCCACCUUACUACUACAAGUCACCACCGCCACCAGUGCAUUCUCCUCCGCCACCUUACUACUACAAAUCUCCGCCGCCACCAAAGCAUUCUCCCCCGCCACCUUACUACUAUAAGUCACCACCACCACCAGUGCAUUCUCCCCCGCCACCUUAUUACUACAAAUCUCCGCCGCCACCAAAGUAUUCUCCCCCGCCACCUUAUUAUUACAAAUCUCCGCCGCCACCAAAGCAUUCUCCUCCACCACCUUACUACUACAAAUCUCCACCACCACCAAACCAUUCUCCCCCACCACCUUACUACUAUAAGUCACCACCACCACCAAAGCAUUCUCCCCCACCUCCUUAUUACUACAAAUCUCCACCACCACCAAUGUAUUCUCCACCACCACCUUACUAAUACAAAUCUCCGCCAUCGCCAUCUCUAUCCCCGCCUCCAUCUUACAUUUAUAAAUUCCCACAACCAUCAUCUAUACCACCUCCACCAUGACCUCUAUCACGGUCAUUAUUGCUUCCUUACUACUCCAAGUCACCGCCAACUCCUUUAUCUCCACCUUCACCGUAUUACUACAAUCACCCCCACCUCCCAAAGACUACUACGUUCAGUAUCCCUUCUUGAAACAAGUUUAAAAUUCAAUAAGAAUAAAUUUGUUCCUUUGGUUGCCUUUUUUUUUAAUUUUUUACUAAGUUCAAUGCCCCUUCUUGAAACAAGUUUCAAAUUCAAUAAGAAUAAAUUUGUUCCUUUGGUUGCCUUUUUAUGCUUUUUUGUGUCAAUUUUUUUACAAAUAAUUUGUAAGAAGCGUUCAGUGCAUCAUUUGUCAUGUGCAAUAAAAAUCUUCUAACUUAAUGUAUCCCCAAAAAAAAAAAAAAAAAUUGUUCUAUAAGAAUUAUUCUAUUGUUUUAUCACAAAUGUGUUGUGGCGCAUAUAAUGCUCCCGGAUGAAGUAAUAUUAUGUCUUGAUGAACAAUCAUGCACAACAAUGAUCAUGUACAUAGUUCUUCCAACGUCAUGAUAAUGUCCAUGCACAUAAUAACAAACUUCUUCCUCAUAAUAUCAAAGAAAAUGAAGAUACAAGCCUCUUAUUCUUUAGUCAUUCACUCAAACAACAUUGUUUUAACUUAGGUUUUGAUCAAUCUUAAUGCUAAUAAAUGCUAACUACAUAUCAAAUACAAGAUCAACAAAAACCAGAUUUUAAAUUAAUCAGAAAAACAAACACUAGACUUAACCAAGCAGUUAAGCUUUAUUAUUCUCCCUCAGUAAAGGAUACAAAGAUGUAGGUGGAUUACAAGCUAUCACUGAAAAAAUAGAAAUCAUCUAAAAUGGUGAACAAAUGAGCUCUAAAUCUGUUGCACUCAUUUGUUCAACUAAGCAAUGAAAUUACCCUUUUCUAUUUUAACUGCUUGUCUACUUUAACACGGCAACUUUAAAUAACAACCUUCAACUUGAAAAAUUUGAGUAACCAGAGCCAUCAAUAACGGUAAAUCUUGACAAAAAUUUUAGUUUAAUUAAGGCCAUAAACAUAAUAUUAAAUAAUAAAAAAAAAAGGCCAUAAACAUAGUGUUGAAAUACCAUUAUACCUGUGAACGAACUUUUGAUGGUUAUUAAACUCAUGAACCCUCAAUUUUUGUAUUAUGAAUAUGCUCAUGGCCUAUCUUAGGUCUCCUCUAUGAACCACUUUUUUUUUAAAAAAAUUAUAUUCAUUAUGAUACUAAGGUAUAAGUAGAAGUAAAGUUCUUUUAAUAUUUUUGUAACCAGGAUGUGACAACCUAGGUGAUACGUGAAUUGGUUAUUUGCACAUUUUGCUACAUUUUUGUGAGUUUGCUUGCUGGUUUUCUCUUUGUUCCAACAAUUCACACAUAGGAUAAUCUCAUUUUAACAAAGAAAGAUACCACUAAAAUACAACAAAACAUGAUCAAUUCUAAUAUACUAGAAAACUUUUUUUUUUUGUUUGCCUUUUCAUAUAUUAGAGUUGUGUUUUUGUUAUCUUAUAGUGGCAUCUAUGCAGUUUAACUAAAUGAGAAUAUUCUCAUUUGAGAAUUAUUAAUAAGAGAGUAGUAGACAAAUGAUACCCAACUAUACUGCUUCACUAUUAACAACACAUCCAAUUGAGUAAUGAUAGAGAGUCAAUUCUAUCACCAAAUGAAAGCAAACAAAAGCUGAAAUAUUUUAGUGAAUAUCUUUAAAGUUUGAAUUAAUAAUAAAAUUGUCCCAAAAAACUGUCUUAAUGGAACUAAUGUGCGAUUUAUUUGUAGGGUGAAUAAAUAUCAUUUUCCAGAAAAAAAUAUAGUCAAAAUAUGGAAAGCUUGUUCUGCAAGUGGUUGAUAUUGAUGUACAUUAAUGUCAAAGAUACAUUAAGUGCAUGCCAAAUUCUAUUAUAAAAUUUAUAAAUGUAUAAGUAGAAGAUUUUAUAAAUUAAUUCCUGUAAAACGUCGGUUAUAUGAAUAAAUGGUGAAGAGAAAGCUGUAAUAAUUAUCGUAAUUACAAUUUUCUUGAGCACGCUUUGACGUACGAUUAACAAAAAAGGUCUGUAUAUGAGCAAUCGGCCGUACAUUAUCUUAACCACCUGAUUUUGUUUUUUUUUUUUGUAAUUUCAAUCUUGGCCGUUGGAGUCAAUGAAAAGAUCGUUCAAAUGGUAGAGAUUUGUCUAUUUGAUUAUUAACAUUAUGCUUCCCGAUGGUUAUCAAAAACCCAAACAAAUUAAAGAGUUAAAACUUUUAGCACAUAAGUCCGAAUUGUUUCAAAUUUAUGUUGUUUAAUCACUAGUGAGUCUCAAAAAAUAAAUUUAUUUUAAUAUUAUAUAUUUUAUUUAAAAGAAUUAAUUUUUUAUAUCAUUUAUUUUAUUAAAAAUAAAUAUUAUUGAAUACUAAUUAUUCUCAUUUUAUUUAAUAUUAUUUAGUUAUAGGCUUAUUAUUAUAUUUAAUUGUUCAAAAAACUAAAAAAAUUUAAAUAAAAUAAAGUAAUUGAUGGUUGUCGAAGCCAACAAAAAUAAAUUCCUACUCUAAAUAAAUUGUGUAUAGUGAUUGAGCAGGGUCGUGUCCACAGAGAUCGGUAAUUAUUUAAAUCCUUUUGAAACGUAAAACGUAAAAUGGGGGAAUUGUUGACAAUAAUAAAAAUCAAAUUAAAAUAACAAGAAUGCAAAUUAAAGUUGUAAUUCAAAUUGGAGAAAGCUCUGGUUGAAGGAAUUAACUCAGCUUGAUUCGACUACUGAUCAUUGAUUCAAAUAUAGAUUAUUAUUACUCAUGAAUAGACCGGUUAUAGCUACUGAGACCCUCUAAUAGCCAAUCUCUCCUUAACUAGUCGAUAACCAAGGUACGACCGUUGGAUAUUCCCUAAUCAAUAGACAACCCUAGAUACGAUCAUAGAAUUUAAUCAAUUGACAGCCUGAAAAACCAGAAAGACCCAAAUCCUAAUCAACACAUAUGAUGAUUCAUUUAAAUUAAAUUGUUUAUUCUCACAACACAACUCUCUGCUAUGUCAUUUGUCACAAACAUUAAAUUCUUCAUACGAUGAAUCCCUUAAUUGACAAUAGAUUAAGUUGAUAAUUAAAUAGUGGCCAACUGCUGUACGGCCAAGGCGGAUGUACGGUACAGCAGAAUACAUUCCCUUACUCAACUAACAAAGUCUUUCAUUUAUCUGAAAACAGUUCCAAUUUUGAAAUAUCAGUGUCAAACUUUUCCCAGCAACAUAUUUAUCAUCUCUCCACAUUAUCCUUAACUGACAGCAGCUUGGAAGAUCUUCAAUCAGCAAGUUCAGAAAGCAAUGAACAAGUACCUUCUGUUUCUGCACACACAAAUAAUCUGCAUCAACAAGAGCAUUCUNNNNNNNNNNNNNNNNNNNNNNNNNNNNNNNNNNNNNNNNNNNNNNNNNNNNNNNNNNNNNNNNNNNNNNNNNNNNNNNNNNNNNNNNNNNNNNNNNNNNNNNNNNNNNNNNNNNNNNNNNNNNNNNNNNNNNNNNNNNNNNNNNNNNNNNNNNNNNNNNNNNNNNNNNNNNNNNNNNNNNNNNNNNNNNNNNNNNNNNNNNNNNNNNNNNNNNNNNNNNNNNNNNNNNNNNNNNNNNNNNNNNNCAGCAGAAUAAAAUAUUAUUAAUUUUAUUUUUUUUAUUUUGCUAUCUUACUAAUAAUUGGCAAUAAUAAUAAUAAUAAUAAUAAUAAUAAUAAUAUCUUUAAGGUUAAUGAUUUUAUUUUCUAAUUAAUAUGGAUAAUUUUAGAUUUUUAUAAUAUAUAUGACGAUAAACACGAAAUUAAGUAUAAAACUAAUUCUCAAAAUCCGAUUUUAAAAAUCUACUUUUUCCCUACUUUUUAAAAUCUUCAGUAAGAUAAGGUAAAUUUACCAAAAGUGAUUUCUGAAAAUAUUUAUCAAAUAAUAAAAUUAAUUUGUAACUUUUCAAAAUAACUUUUAAAUCUCGCAAAAAAAAAUCCUAAAUGAGUCCUAAGUACCUAACUUUAUGACGGUCAACAAAUAUGGUAUAAAAGUCUUCUACACCUACUGGGCAUUUGAAUGGGCCAUCUGUCUUAGCUCUUACCUCUUAAAAUGGGCUAAAAAUCAGAGAGUCAGUUAACUAAUAUGGGCUAAAAUUUGGGUACACCUCUCGGGCAUGUUAAUGGGCCAUCAUCUUUCACAGGUUUCUAAAGGGUAAAGGCUUUCUGUCUCCCAAGACUUCGACUAGUGAAAUUUAAUCGAUAUAAAUAUGUAGCUACCUAUAUUUAUAUAAGAAAAUGAUGUUCUCAUAAAUUUGCGUGCAAAGAUUUGCACAAAACGGUGCGUUUUGUGCAGCUUUAAAAAUGCUCUUCGUACGUGCACCAAACAACACACAAGCACGCCAAUUCACAACAUCAUUUUCCCACUCGCGUCUGCCUCCUUUCACUGCAACAAAAACCCAGCAGCUUCGUUCUCCACACAGCAAGAAGUCUCCUUAUUAAUAUAAUAUUAUAUAAUAAACUCAACAGAAGUCUCCUUUCUUCCUCCAUUUUUCCUCACGAGAUAGCUCCGAUCUCUCUCCCUCCGUCCUCCUUUCUUCCUUACAAGACAGCUCGGGUCUCUCUCUCUGGCCUCCUUUCUCCCUCACAAGAUAGUUCGGAUCUCUCUUUCCAGUCUCCACGCCGCUAAUAGUCCCAGUUCUAACCUCUCUCGCCCCGCAGCAACCAUAAGAUCUCUCUCUCACCCGUUUCAAUUCAUUGCUCUAAUUGAAAUCUUUAACUCGUUUAGGACAUUGUGCUGAAUUACCUAUGGAUGGUGGUGGUCUUAUGCUUGAGUGUUGUAAAUUAGAAUCAAAUUAUGCAAAACCUGAUGCCUUUGGGAAUCAUGUUUAUUUCAAGCUUCUAUGUUGUGAUUUGAUUAUUUGAUGAAGCACCUGGAAAAUGUAGUUUGCUCCCUCAAAUUAUUUUACUCUGUUGAAUAAAUUGUAUUUGCCAUUAUUUGAAAAGAAUUUAAAAAAAAAUUACAGCCCCGAAACAUUGAGCUUAUGCUAUAAUUUAAGCAUCUCCCUCAUUUAUAGCACAUUUAUUUUCAUAAUUUACGCGACAAUGGAGAACGGAGCCGAGACUGUUAGUGGCAUGGGGAUGAGAGAGAAAAAUAUGAGCUGUUUCGUGAGGUUUUGUUAGGUUUCGUGAGGGAGAAAGGAGAUGGGAGAGAGAGACGCUGAGUUUUGUUGCUCCCCUCACUUGUGUGUGUUUGGUGUUAAAACUUUGCAGCAAAGAGUGGCUUUUAUACUUUGCACAAAACGCACCGUUUUGUGCAAAGUUUUGUGCAAAGUGUUGUGAGAACAUCAUUUUCCAUUUAAAUAUUGGCUUUUCAUUUUUUUUCAAAUGAGAAUUGAUCCAGUGUGCACCAUCAUGCACAGCACAAGGUAUAUUUUCAUCAGUGGGCGCUAGGUCUCAUAGAUUGGUUCUCUCUAAUAAGAACAUGUCGUCUGUUGUCCCGCGCUAGAUCGAAUGCGUUUUCAAAUUUGUCAAAUUACAUUUUGAGCAUGUCAUAGUGGACGUUAUUACAAAGUCGUCAAUCUCAAUACAAUAAUCAUGACAUCAGGUUUUGAGAAUGUGAAUAAAACUCAUAUUUAUUUGAUAAAAUAUAAUUUAAAAAUAAAAAUAAAAUAUGUAUAUUCUAUAUAAUUUGAUAAUAAAAAAUAGAAAUCUCAUUUUUAUAUUGGGUUGGGAAUGAGGAUUCCUAUUUCUUGAACUGACUUUUAUAUCUCUCUAUUUUUUUCAUAUUUUUUAAAUUAUUCUCGUUUAAAUCACAAUUAAUUUGAUUACUGCUGUACGGCCAAGGCGGAUGCAAUAGAAUUGCACCUACAAAAGUAAAACAUAAGUAAAUCACUAUUAUUAAGUGCAAAACAUUGAUAUUAAGGGAAGUAAAUAAUGCAAAACUAGUGCAUAAAUUGCACUCUAACAGUAAUCAGUAAUCAGCAUUAAAAAUUAAAUUAAAUUAAAUUUUUUUGUUUUUAAUAUUAUUUAGUUAUAGACUUAUUAUUAUAUUUAUUCGUUCAUAAAACUAAAUAAUGUUAAAUCAAAUAAAAUAAUCAGGAAUGGUUCUUAAAAAAUUAAUAUUAUUUAUUUUAUUUUAUUUAAUAUUAUUUAGUCAUAGCCUAUUAUUCUGUUUAUUUUUUGAAAAUUAAAUAAUAUUAAAUAAAAAUCCCCCCUUUUCACAAUAGAUUCCUCCCUUCAAUACUCUCUCUCUCCUCUCUUUUAGAAUUCUAUUUAAAAUAAAAUACUAAUAUCUGAAAUAUUAAAUUCGUAAUUACAAAAAUAACCAAAAAUACAAAAUACGUUAAACUAAAAACUGCAGGUCCGCAGUUGACAGCACGCGCCCACGCCUUAUCAACAAAGUUCUUCUGACGCUCAUAAUUUCUCCAAGAGAACAAUCAUCCUUAAACAUCAUCUUAUAGCUCAAUUUUAUCAUCAAUCAAUAGAAUUACACCUACAAAAGUAAAACACAAGUAAAACAUUAUUAUUAAGUGCAAAACAUCGAUAUUAAGGGAAGUAAACAAUGCAAAACUAGUGCAUAAAUUGCACUCUAACAAAUUCCCCCACACCAAGAUGAUGCUUGUCCUCAAGCAUAUAACUCAAGACUAAUCUCAAAUCUCCACUAAAUUCUCAUCUCAACUCAUCCAAAAAUAAUUUUAAGCAAGCAUACCUCAAGAAAUUAAGUCGAUCAACAUUCGAGAGACAAGGAUUUUUAAAGCAUAGAAUCUCAUAAGAUAGAAUAAGAACAUUCAACCACCAAGAAGAUCCAUUCAAAAUUCAAGUGCAACAAGAUGUAAUAGCCCUCUCAAUAACUUCACUCCAUGCACUCAAAGUGUUUAGGGUAUCAUUUAUGCACUCAAAUCAAAUCAAAGAAUGCUAUUACCAUAAGCUUGCUCAUAUAUCACAUCUCAAUCCACAAAACAUGAAUAAAAUGAAAAAAUCUAAGGGUCUUAAAAGGGUUGUAAUGGGGUUAAAUAGGUUAAAUGAAAAAGAAAGGUCUAUGAAAGAAAAAGAGAUCAAAAUGAGAAGAAUGAACUCAUUGAAUGAACUUAUGAUAUCAAAAUGCUCCUUGGCCGUACAGCAGGAAUGGUUCUUAAAAAAUUAAUAUUAUUUAUUUUAUUUUAUUUAAUAUUAUUUAGUCAUAGCCUAUUAUUCUGUUUAUUUUUUGAAAAUUAAAUAAUAUUAAAUAAAAUAGAAUAGAAAAUGUGAGUCCUUAAAAAUAAAAAUUAUUUUUAAUAUUAUUUAUUUUAUUUAAAAGAAUAAAUUUUUUAAUAUUUUUAUUUUAUUAAAAAAUAUUAUUUAAUAUUAUCUAGUCAUAGGCUUAUUAUUAUAUUUCUUCUUUUAGAAAGUUAAAUAGUAUUAAAUGAAAUAAAAUUACAUUUUAGAAGGUCAUUAGCCAAAGCACAUAAACUUAUAAACAAAUGGAAAUAAAAAAGGUAAAUAAUAUUCAAUAAAAUAAAAUUACAUUUUAAAAGGUCACCAACCAAAGCACAUAAUAUUAUAACAAAAAUGUAAAUAAAAAAGAAAGUAAGAGAUUCAAUGAAAUUUAACAUCACAAAAGACAAUUUCAAAAAUUGGGGGUAGCUUGCAACUGUUGCAAAGUGGCUGGUUCCAUAAUUUUGAGAUAAUGUUUCGGUUUCAAAUAUUGUUAUCGAUACCUAAUUAUAAGUAAUAAAAAAAUAUUGUAUAAUUUUUUUACCAACAUUUACAAUACAUUUUAUUUUGAUUUCUGAAAAAAAUAGAUAAAACACAAAUUAAUUAUUUUAACCCUCUAUUCUCUCAAUAUUUAAACUCGAAUAAUCAGUUAAAAGUUGCUCGAGAAUGUUUAAAAGCCAUUUAAGUAUACCACGUCAUUCAUGUUUUGCAAUCAUUCAAUUGUUAAUAAGUUUCCCAUGUGCUGAAAAUAAAUAAAAAUGCACGUGCAUAUGUCAUAUUGUCUCCGAAACCUCACAGCGGAAUGAGUGUAGUACUUGCAAUGCAUGUACUUUAGACUUUGUAUUUCUCUUAUUUAAAUGAUCAAUAAUUUUUCUUUGUCCUUUAAUUAGACGUCAACAGUCGAAGUUGUGGGCAAGUAGUAGGCUAUAUAUAAUAAUUUCCUGGAGAUCUUCCGUCUUCUAAGACAUUGCAAAUGCCAAACGUGAUAACUAUUUUGAUAAUUCAAAUACUACAUAAAAUAUAUGAAGUGUCAGACAAGUCAAAAGAAUUGAUUCUUCACAAUUGUAUAUACGUAUACACACACUUUGCCCAAAUCCCAUUGUAUCCAGGCUGUAAUUUUUAUAUUAAACGAACAUAUUUUAUUUUAUGUCAGCAAUAUUGAUGCAGGCUGGUGGAACAACAGCUUCAGGAUGGUCAACUACCCUUCGGAUCAUUGCAAGUGGGAUGGCAUCACUUGCAAUUCAGAUGGAACCAUAAUCGGGCUAAAAUUAUCAGGGUAUGAUGUUGACUUCAAAAGGUAGUCUUCGUAAAAUUAUCAUGGUAUAAUAUACGUAUUUAUUUUCGCAUACAUAAAUAAAUAACAAAAUUGUAAUUAAUUGGAUACAACUUCAGCUUUUGGACUGGUUUGUGAAAAUCGGAAAAAUUUAAAAAUGCUCCUCUUGAACAAUCAAAAUCUACUUUAUACGUGAACAAAGGGGAUGAUUCGUAAAGAUAAUUCAUCAAUGUUUGAUUACUUUCAGAAAGAUAGACUUCAUUUGAUCUCGUCCCAAAGCAUAAUUUCACUUUGAAUUUGAAAAAGAAUAAUGAAGUUCAUACGAUGCUGUUGUGACCUUUUUUUUUUGUUUUCUUUUUUUCUCGACGUUGUUUUGUGAAUCAUAAGGGUUAAUUUAGUACGGUGGGUUCGCUUGUAUGAAGCGUACUUAUUGUACCAUUCUGUUGCAAGUAAUGAAAAAACGCUAUAAUUUUUUUUAGGUUUCUACAAGUAUUAUGUUAUCUUAUAUCUAACUGUGCAUCUCUAUUCUUUGCUCUCAGUUCAGGUUCUCUAAAAGUAUAUUAAUUAUGAAAAGCAUUAAAGGUUCCGAAACUCUAUUUUGCGGGGAAAAAGAACCUCCAUUUUUGGUUUUUUAUUAUCAUAAGAGGUUUUACUAUGCUCGUAAUAACUUAAUCGAAAUUAAACAUAUCACUGGUCUACAUUUUUUUAUCAGAUUUUGUGCCUUGCUAAUUAAGAUGAGUAUCACCAUCAAAUCAACAAGCUUAUACCUUCAAAGAAAAAUAGACUAUAAGUCGGGAGAAAGAAGAAGAAAAAAAAAAAGAAGCUUCGCAAUUUAUGCUGUUGGUUGUGAGUUCAUGAAACAAAUAAAAAUAUGAAAUCAAACAUUUAUCCAAAAUUUAAAAUUAAAAAAAAACUCUAUAUCUACAGUAAUCUGUUCAAACCACAUAGGUGGAGCAAUAGAGUUCCAAGACGUGGUUUUAAAACAUGUCUUUGUGAUAAACAAUAUCGUGAUACUUGCGCCAAUUCCCAUGCCAAUAAUUGCCUACAUUUAUCCAAGAUCCAUGGCCAGGUUUAGAAUGUGCUAGUCUUCUUUCACUUUCAUAAAUAACCACUACUAGGUAAUCAGAGUGUCGGUCUAAAUUUUUCGGAGAUACAACGUCAAUGUAUGUGCCCGGAGUUGAAGCUGAACGCGCUUAAAUAUGUUCGGAAUUUGAAGUUGAACGCCUGGAAAAGGAUGCAGACUGAAGAAAGGCAAUUCCUGGAAUUUGUCUUUGGUAAGAAAACAUGGCUGCUUAUGCCCUUUGAAAGACUGAAGAAACCAAAUUGAUUAUUGCUGCAAUUUAGUGGCACGUGUACAAGGAGAGGCAUCCGAUUAAACUUGUUCAUAAAAUUAUUGCUGAUAGUUGCAGCCGAUCUCCAUGAAGUACAAACCCAACGCAAAGAAACAAAGUGUUCGUACAAUUUUAUCCGCCAGCAAUUUCGACCAAGAGACCUUGAUGCAGUUCAGACCAAUUCGCCAGUUGAACAUCAAGUUGCCUAGGCAUUGAGAAUUAGGUCAAUAAAAUAUAUCCUGGGUCACUUACAAAAGAUGAAAUAAGUGAAAAAGGAAAGAUGACGUAAUAAUUUCUUAGUGAGAAAAGUUAGUUAAUUUUCAAUUGCUUUCAUUGUUUUGAUAAUUUUCAAAACAUUUCAUUGCUUUCAUUGCGUAAUUAAGCUUUUUUUGCUUCAAAAUAUUUCAAAUUGUGUUUGUGGGACUACUAAACAAUUAGGACACAACAAUGUUUCGUUCUGGUCUUUUUUUUUUUUUACUUUUUAAUUUAUUUUAAGAAAAUCUUUGUCCAUCUCUCAUCCUGCCAAAUAUAUCGUCUCGUCUUGUUAUCUAGAAUAAUUCUUCAUGCAUCAAUGAGUUUUGACAAAUUUUUAUCUUUUAAAAGUUGUUGUAAUUCAAUAUAGCUAAAAUCUUAAAUACAUACAUGUAGAAUAAUCUAAGCAUUACCUUAUUCGGGGAAAAUCGAGAUUAGAAUCAAUCAAAGCAAUGAUACCUUAUAUCAGUGAGAUAUAUGCAAGACUCACCCAUUGGUACAAACGAAAAUGAUCAAAGUGGAAGCAAAAAUGGAAUCCUCAAAUGUGGUGAUAAUUUAGAUGAUCUCCACUCUCCAUUUGGUUUCAUCUAAUAAGUUAGUGUUUAAUUAAGAAUUUAUUACUCAUUUUAUUAUGAUAUUAAUCAACUGCCGUCCCUUCCAUUAGUUCAUUAUUUUUGAUGGAUUACGAAAGACAGACAAUAAAAUUCUCCAAAACUGUUGUAAGAGUAAUAUUGUAAAAGUUACAUAAAAGUGAGGAUAAGGAUAAUUUGAGGUAUGUUUCAAGAUAUAAAGAUUAAAUAAAUUCUUAACUCAAAAUAAAGAGAUUUAUUUUUUUUAAAAGAGAUUAAAAUGUCAUGAUAAAUAAAUAAGGGAGGUGAUAUUCUGGGCUCUCCCCUGGCUUUUUGUGAUAACAUCUUAAAUUAAUAUAAAUAGUUAAAAUUUUAUUAAAAAAUAAAUUUUUACCUAAUACUCUUUGACAUAGCUAGGAAUAUAGCCUACUUGCAAGAGACUUACAUUCGUUUGCACAGCCCUUUCGUGAAUAUAAAAUUGCUGCCGAAUAAGCAUCUAAUUAAAAGAAUUAGGAAUUUGUCAACGGUAUAAAUUAAAUAUAAAAAACGAGUAAAAGAAUUUGUCAAUGGGAUAUGGGGGGCUAUGGCUUCAAUCGUAGGGGUGGGCAAAUUUCGGAUUCCGAAUCCGAUCGGAUUUUGGAUAAUUCGGAUUGGGAAAAAAUCCAUCCAAAUUCAAUCCGAACCUUAAAUCUGUUUCGAUCCGAGAUAAUUUCGGAUCCGGAUCAGAUUCGGAUGAGUUUGAAUUUCAGAUUAUAUUUCAAGUUCGGAUUAUAUUUUGGAUUCGGAUUAAUUCGGGUUUGGGACCUUUUUACAAUUCUCACAAAAAAAUUAUGAAAUUUAUAAUUAAUGAAAAAUAAUUUCCAUGAUGCUGUCAACAAUAAUUAAUAUUUUGAAAACGCAAUAACGGAAUUUUCAAAAAAAAGAAAAAGAAAACACAGGAACGGUAUUGAUAAAGAAUUUUCAUUAGCCAUUUGUGACUGCUAACUAAAUUGUAACAACUAAGUAAAAUAUAAUAAUAAUAAUAAUACAUGCGGGUAUAUUCAAAGCAACUAAAUCACUUGCGAAUGAUCAAGACAAAUCGUAUAAACAAGUAAAAAAUUCAAAGUUUCAAACGCAAAUCGUCGGGGGCUAUCGGAUUAGUGGAUUACCAUUAACAAGACGAGGUUUAUGUCGGUGUGAGUUGCUCAUUGUGGGUCUGGAUGAUGUCGCGAUGGCUGGGUUUGUGCCAACUAUGAUCCAGCUAGGUUUGUAUCGAAUCUGAUCUCGUCUAGAGGACGUUGUGGCGGCUGGGUUUGUGUCGAAUUCAUUCGGUUUGUCUCGUCGGCGACAUGGUUGUUGGUUGGCUCGUCAGGUUGUGGCCCGUGGGUGUGGUGUGGUUUGUUGUCGUGGAUUGACUUAUCAAAGGGCGUGCGACGAUGGUGUGUGGUUUUGUCAUUUGGAAAUUGAGUUUUGAUUUUUCAUUUUCGUUUUUUUAAAAAAAAAUUUUUGGAUUAUUCGGAUUGAACUGAAUCUUAUCCGAUCCAAAUCAAAUCCGAUCAGAUUACAAAAAUUUCAUCCGAUUGGAUUUUAAAGCAAAUCCAAAUCCGAUCCGAACAAAUUCGGAUCGAAUUGGAUUAGAUCGGAUCUAUCCGAAUCUGAUCCAAUGUCCACCCCUAUUCAAUCGGUUUCUGCAAUGGUUAAUGGCAUAUUUUUGCUCAUCGUCACCACUGAAUCCACUGAUCAUUUGUGCAUGUGAGUUGUUUUUGAGCAUUUAUUUUUCCCUUUAGAAGCAUAAGGAUAAGGCUAGUCUUCUUUUUGGGAGGACUUAUUGCUUCCAUUCGUUAAAAUUGGGCAUGUAAAAUGUCAAGAAAAAAUGGCCUAAGUGGCUAGCUAGAUGAUAUAAUGGAUGGUUACUACUCAAACCUAGCAAUAAAUGAAUGUCCGACAAGCAUUCAAAUGAAUGAAUAAAACCAAUCAGAUUAGAAUAUCUAUUUAUGAUAGAUUAAUGAAAAUACGAUUCAAAUAUAAGGUAAAUAAUCUCUCCAUUAAUUUUUUAUUGUUUCAGGCAGGGUUGCCAAGCCUCUGUCCGGGCUUCUAUAAGCUCAAUUCCAGCUCUCCUAUAUGAUUGAAUUAGAUCGGGCUAGGCCCUCGGACUUUUUAAUUAAAAAAGGUCGAUUUUUAAGUUUAUGAAGUUAAUACACUCACGCUUAUACUUUAAUAUUUUUAUUAUUUGGCUUUUAGAAUAUUAACGUGUAAAUUACUUUUUUUUUUCAAGUGAAAUAAUUAUCACAUUUUGUCUUCUUAGUAUAUAUUUCUACCUUUUUGUUCCUAUAGAUAUUUCCUCAUUUCAUCUUUGGUACUAGAGCGUAGUAAAAAAACACAUGAUUAAAGAUAAAUAUGACAUUUUAACUAACAAAUUAAUUAUUUGUAUCUAAGAUCUAGCUCUAGUGGUAAAGAUCAAUUUUCAUCGAAUUCAAGUCUUGGGUUUGAAUUUAAAUGCAUGGGUAAGUUAAUAAUAAUAAUAAUAAUAAUAAUAAUAAUAAUAAUAAUAAUAAUAAUAAUAAUAAUAAUAAUAAUAAUAAUAAUAAUAAUAAUAAUAAUAAUAAUAAUAAUAAUAAUAAUAAUAAUAAUAAUAAUAAUAAUAAUAAUAAUAAUAAUAAUAAUAAUAAUAAUAAUAAUAAUAAUAAUAAUAAUAAUAAUAAUAAUAAUAAUAAUAAUAAUAAUAAUAAUAAUAAUAAUAAUAAUAAUAAUAAUAAUAAUAAUAAUAAUAAUAAUAAUAAUAAUAAUAAUAAUAAUAAUAAUAAUAAUAAUAAUAAUAAUAAUAAUAAUAAUAAUAAUAAUAAUAAUAAUAAUAAUAAUAAUAAUAAUAAUAAUAAUAAUAAUAAUAAUAAUAAUAAUAAUAAUAAUAAUAAUAAUAAUAAUAAUAAUAAUAAUAAUAAUAAUAAUAAUAAUAAUAAUAAUAAUAAUAAUAAUAAUAAUAAUAAUAAUAAUAAUAAUAAUAAUAAUAAUAAUAAUAAUAAUAAUAAUAAUAAUAAUAAUAAUAAUAAUAAUAAUAAUAAUAAUAAUAAUAAUAAUAAUAAUAAUAAUAAUAAUAAUAAUAAUAAUAAUAAUAAUAAUAAUAAUAAUAAUAAUAAUAAUAAUAAUAAUAAUAAUAAUAAUAAUAAUAAUAAUAAUAAUAAUAAUAAUAAUAAUAAUAAUAAUAAUAAUAAUAAUAAUAAUAAUAAUAAUAAUAAUAAUAAUAAUAAUAAUAAUAAUAAUAAUAAUAAUAAUAAUAAUAAUAAUAAUAAUAAUAAUAAUAAUAAUAAUAAUAAUAAUAAUAAUAAUAAUAAUAAUAAUAAUAAUAAUAAUAAUAAUAAUAAUAAUAAUAAUAAUAAUAAUAAUAAUAAUAAUAAUAAUAAUAAUAAUAAUAAUAAUAAUAAUAAUAAUAAUAAUAAUAAUAAUAAUAAUAAUAAUAAUAAUAAUAAUAAUAAUAAUAAUAAUAAUAAUAAUAAUAAUAAUAAUAAUAAUAAUAAUAAUAAUAAUAAUAAUAAUAAUAAUAAUAAUAAUAAUAAUAAUAAUAAUAAUAAUAAUAAUAAUAAUAAUAAUAAUAAUAAUAAUAAUAAUAAUAAUAAUAAUAAUAAUAAUAAUAAUAAUAAUAAUAAUAAUAAUAAUAAUAAUAAUAAUAAUAAUAAUAAUAAUAAUAAUAAUAAUAAUAAUAAUAAUAAUAAUAAUAAUAAUAAUAAUAAUAAUAAUAAUAAUAAUAAUAAUAAUAAUAAUAAUAAUAAUAAUAAUAAUAAUAAUAAUAAUAAUAAUAAUAAUAAUAAUAAUAAUAAUAAUAAUAAUAAUAAUAAUAAUAAUAAUAAUAAUAAUAAUAAUAAUAAUAAUAAUAAUAAUAAUAAUAAUAAUAAUAAUAAUAAUAAUAAUAAUAAUAAUAAUAAUAAUAAUAAUAAUAAUAAUAAUAAUAAUAAUAAUAAUAAUAAUAAUAAUAAUAAUAAUAAUAAUAAUAAUAAUAAUAAUAAUAAUAAUAAUAAUAAUAAUAAUAAUAAUAAUAAUAAUAAUAAUAAUAAUAAUAAUAAUAAUAAUAAUAAUAAUAAUAAUAAUAAUAAUAAUAAUAAUAAUAAUAAUAAUAAUAAUAAUAAUAAUAAUAAUAAUAAUAAUAAUAAUAAUAAUAAUAAUAAUAAUAAUAAUAAUAAUAAUAAUAAUAAUAAUAAUAAUAAUAAUAAUAAUAAUAAUAAUAAUAAUAAUAAUAAUAAUAAUAAUAAUAAUAAUAAUAAUAAUAAUAAUAAUAAUAAUAAUAAUAAUAAUAAUAAUAAUAAUAAUAAUAAUAAUAAUAAUAAUAAUAAUAAUAAUAAUAAUAAUAAUAAUAAUAAUAAUAAUAAUAAUAAUAAUAAUAAUAAUAAUAAUAAUAAUAAUAAUAAUAAUAAUAAUAAUAAUAAUAAUAAUAAUAAUAAUAAUAAUAAUAAUAAUAAUAAUAAUAAUAAUAAUAAUAAUAAUAAUAAUAAUAAUAAUAAUAAUAAUAAUAAUAAUAAUAAUAAUAAUAAUAAUAAUAAUAAUAAUAAUAAUAAUAAUAAUAAUAAUAAUAAUAAUAAUAAUAAUAAUAAUAAUAAUAAUAAUAAUAAUAAUAAUAAUAAUAAUAAUAAUAAUAAUAAUAAUAAUAAUAAUAAUAAUAAUAAUAAUAAUAAUAAUAAUAAUAAUAAUAAUAAUAAUAAUAAUAAUAAUAAUAAUAAUAAUAAUAAUAAUAAUAAUAAUAAUAAUAAUAAUAAUAAUAAUAAUAAUAAUAAUAAUAAUAAUAAUAAUAAUAAUAAUAAUAAUAAUAAUAAUAAUAAUAAUAAUAAUAAUAAUAAUAAUAAUAAUAAUAAUAAUAAUAAUAAUAAUAAUAAUAAUAAUAAUAAUAAUAAUAAUAAUAAUAAUAAUAAUAAUAAUAAUAAUAAUAAUAAUAAUAAUAAUAAUAAUAAUAAUAAUAAUAAUAAUAAUAAUAAUAAUAAUAAUAAUAAUAAUAAUAAUAAUAAUAAUAAUAAUAAUAAUAAUAAUAAUAAUAAUAAUAAUAAUAAUAAUAAUAAUAAUAAUAAUAAUAAUAAUAAUAAUAAUAAUAAUAAUAAUAAUAAUAAUAAUAAUAAUAAUAAUAAUAAUAAUAAUAAUAAUAAUAAUAAUAAUAAUAAUAAUAAUAAUAAUAAUAAUAAUAAUAAUAAUAAUAAUAAUAAUAAUAAUAAUAAUAAUAAUAAUAAUAAUAAUAAUAAUAAUAAUAAUAAUAAUAAUAAUAAUAAUAAUAAUAAUAAUAAUAAUAAUAAUAAUAAUAAUAAUAAUAAUAAUAAUAAUAAUAAUAAUAAUAAUAAUAAUAAUAAUAAUAAUAAUAAUAAUAAUAAUAAUAAUAAUAAUAAUAAUAAUAAUAAUAAUAAUAAUAAUAAUAAUAAUAAUAAUAAUAAUAAUAAUAAUAAUAAUAAUAAUAAUAAUAAUAAUAAUAAUAAUAAUAAUAAUAAUAAUAAUAAUAAUAAUAAUAAUAAUAAUAAUAAUAAUAAUAAUAAUAAUAAUAAUAAUAAUAAUAAUAAUAAUAAUAAUAAUAAUAAUAAUAAUAAUAAUAAUAAUAAUAAUAAUAAUAAUAAUAAUAAUAAUAAUAAUAAUAAUAAUAAUAAUAAUAAUAAUAAUAAUAAUAAUAAUAAUAAUAAUAAUAAUAAUAAUAAUAAUAAUAAUAAUAAUAAUAAUAAUAAUAAUAAUAAUAAUAAUAAUAAUAAUAAUAAUAAUAAUAAUAAUAAUAAUAAUAAUAAUAAUAAUAAUAAUAAUAAUAAUAAUAAUAAUAAUAAUAAUAAUAAUAAUAAUAAUAAUAAUAAUAAUAAUAAUAAUAAUAAUAAUAAUAAUAAUAAUAAUAAUAAUAAUAAUAAUAAUAAUAAUAAUAAUAAUAAUAAUAAUAAUAAUAAUAAUAAUAAUAAUAAUAAUAAUAAUAAUAAUAAUAAUAAUAAUAAUAAUAAUAAUAAUAAUAAUAAUAAUAAUAAUAAUAAUAAUAAUAAUAAUAAUAAUAAUAAUAAUAAUAAUAAUAAUAAUAAUAAUAAUAAUAAUAAUAAUAAUAAUAAUAAUAAUAAUAAUAAUAAUAAUAAUAAUAAUAAUAAUAAUAAUAAUAAUAAUAAUAAUAAUAAUAAUAAUAAUAAUAAUAAUAAUAAUAAUAAUAAUAAUAAUAAUAAUAAUAAUAAUAAUAAUAAUAAUAAUAAUAAUAAUAAUAAUAAUAAUAAUAAUAAUAAUAAUAAUAAUAAUAAUAAUAAUAAUAAUAAUAAUAAUAAUAAUAAUAAUAAUAAUAAUAAUAAUAAUAAUAAUAAUAAUAAUAAUAAUAAUAAUAAUAAUAAUAAUAAUAAUAAUAAUAAUAAUAAUAAUAAUAAUAAUAAUAAUAAUAAUAAUAAUAAUAAUAAUAAUAAUAAUAAUAAUAAUAAUAAUAAUAAUAAUAAUAAUAAUAAUAAUAAUAAUAAUAAUAAUAAUAAUAAUAAUAAUAAUAAUAAUAAUAAUAAUAAUAAUAAUAAUAAUAAUAAUAAUAAUAAUAAUAAUAAUAAUAAUAAUAAUAAUAAUAAUAAUAAUAAUAAUAAUAAUAAUAAUAAUAAUAAUAAUAAUAAUAAUAAUAAUAAUAAUAAUAAUAAUAAUAAUAAUAAUAAUAAUAAUAAUAAUAAUAAUAAUAAUAAUAAUAAUAAUAAUAAUAAUAAUAAUAAUAAUAAUAAUAAUAAUAAUAAUAAUAAUAAUAAUAAUAAUAAUAAUAAUAAUAAUAAUAAUAAUAAUAAUAAUAAUAAUAAUAAUAAUAAUAAUAAUAAUAAUAAUAAUAAUAAUAAUAAUAAUAAUAAUAAUAAUAAUAAUAAUAAUAAUAAUAAUAAUAAUAAUAAUAAUAAUAAUAAUAAUAAUAAUAAUAAUAAUAAUAAUAAUAAUAAUAAUAAUAAUAAUAAUAAUAAUAAUAAUAAUAAUAAUAAUAAUAAUAAUAAUAAUAAUAAUAAUAAUAAUAAUAAUAAUAAUAAUAAUAAUAAUAAUAAUAAUAAUAAUAAUAAUAAUAAUAAUAAUAAUAAUAAUAAUAAUAAUAAUAAUAAUAAUAAUAAUAAUAAUAAUAAUAAUAAUAAUAAUAAUAAUAAUAAUAAUAAUAAUAAUAAUAAUAAUAAUAAUAAUAAUAAUAAUAAUAAUAAUAAUAAUAAUAAUAAUAAUAAUAAUAAUAAUAAUAAUAAUAAUAAUAAUAAUAAUAAUAAUAAUAAUAAUAAUAAUAAUAAUAAUAAUAAUAAUAAUAAUAAUAAUAAUAAUAAUAAUAAUAAUAAUAAUAAUAAUAAUAAUAAUAAUAAUAAUAAUAAUAAUAAUAAUAAUAAUAAUAAUAAUAAUAAUAAUAAUAAUAAUAAUAAUAAUAAUAAUAAUAAUAAUAAUAAUAAUAAUAAUAAUAAUAAUAAUAAUAAUAAUAAUAAUAAUAAUAAUAAUAAUAAUAAUAAUAAUAAUAAUAAUAAUAAUAAUAAUAAUAAUAAUAAUAAUAAUAAUAAUAAUAAUAAUAAUAAUAAUAAUAAUAAUAAUAAUAAUAAUAAUAAUAAUAAUAAUAAUAAUAAUAAUAAUAAUAAUAAUAAUAAUAAUAAUAAUAAUAAUAAUAAUAAUAAUAAUAAUAAUAAUAAUAAUAAUAAUAAUAAUAAUAAUAAUAAUAAUAAUAAUAAUAAUAAUAAUAAUAAUAAUAAUAAUAAUAAUAAUAAUAAUAAUAAUAAUAAUAAUAAUAAUAAUAAUAAUAAUAAUAAUAAUAAUAAUAAUAAUAAUAAUAAUAAUAAUAAUAAUAAUAAUAAUAAUAAUAAUAAUAAUAAUAAUAAUAAUAAUAAUAAUAAUAAUAAUAAUAAUAAUAAUAAUAAUAAUAAUAAUAAUAAUAAUAAUAAUAAUAAUAAUAAUAAUAAUAAUAAUAAUAAUAAUAAUAAUAAUAAUAAUAAUAAUAAUAAUAAUAAUAAUAAUAAUAAUAAUAAUAAUAAUAAUAAUAAUAAUAAUAAUAAUAAUAAUAAUAAUAAUAAUAAUAAUAAUAAUAAUAAUAAUAAUAAUAAUAAUAAUAAUAAUAAUAAUAAUAAUAAUAAUAAUAAUAAUAAUAAUAAUAAUAAUAAUAAUAAUAAUAAUAAUAAUAAUAAUAAUAAUAAUAAUAAUAAUAAUAAUAAUAAUAAUAAUAAUAAUAAUAAUAAUAAUAAUAAUAAUAAUAAUAAUAAUAAUAAUAAUAAUAAUAAUAAUAAUAAUAAUAAUAAUAAUAAUAAUAAUAAUAAUAAUAAUAAUAAUAAUAAUAAUAAUAAUAAUAAUAAUAAUAAUAAUAAUAAUAAUAAUAAUAAUAAUAAUAAUAAUAAUAAUAAUAAUAAUAAUAAUAAUAAUAAUAAUAAUAAUAAUAAUAAUAAUAAUAAUAAUAAUAAUAAUAAUAAUAAUAAUAAUAAUAAUAAUAAUAAUAAUAAUAAUAAUAAUAAUAAUAAUAAUAAUAAUAAUAAUAAUAAUAAUAAUAAUAAUAAUAAUAAUAAUAAUAAUAAUAAUAAUAAUAAUAAUAAUAAUAAUAAUAAUAAUAAUAAUAAUAAUAAUAAUAAUAAUAAUAAUAAUAAUAAUAAUAAUAAUAAUAAUAAUAAUAAUAAUAAUAAUAAUAAUAAUAAUAAUAAUAAUAAUAAUAAUAAUAAUAAUAAUAAUAAUAAUAAUAAUAAUAAUAAUAAUAAUAAUAAUAAUAAUAAUAAUAAUAAUAAUAAUAAUAAUAAUAAUAAUAAUAAUAAUAAUAAUAAUAAUAAUAAUAAUAAUAAUAAUAAUAAUAAUAAUAAUAAUAAUAAUAAUAAUAAUAAUAAUAAUAAUAAUAAUAAUAAUAAUAAUAAUAAUAAUAAUAAUAAUAAUAAUAAUAAUAAUAAUAAUAAUAAUAAUAAUAAUAAUAAUAAUAAUAAUAAUAAUAAUAAUAAUAAUAAUAAUAAUAAUAAUAAUAAUAAUAAUAAUAAUAAUAAUAAUAAUAAUAAUAAUAAUAAUAAUAAUAAUAAUAAUAAUAAUAAUAAUAAUAAUAAUAAUAAUAAUAAUAAUAAUAAUAAUAAUAAUAAUAAUAAUAAUAAUAAUAAUAAUAAUAAUAAUAAUAAUAAUAAUAAUAAUAAUAAUAAUAAUAAUAAUAAUAAUAAUAAUAAUAAUAAUAAUAAUAAUAAUAAUAAUAAUAAUAAUAAUAAUAAUAAUAAUAAUAAUAAUAAUAAUAAUAAUAAUAAUAAUAAUAAUAAUAAUAAUAAUAAUAAUAAUAAUAAUAAUAAUAAUAAUAAUAAUAAUAAUAAUAAUAAUAAUAAUAAUAAUAAUAAUAAUAAUAAUAAUAAUAAUAAUAAUAAUAAUAAUAAUAAUAAUAAUAAUAAUAAUAAUAAUAAUAAUAAUAAUAAUAAUAAUAAUAAUAAUAAUAAUAAUAAUAAUAAUAAUAAUAAUAAUAAUAAUAAUAAUAAUAAUAAUAAUAAUAAUAAUAAUAAUAAUAAUAAUAAUAAUAAUAAUAAUAAUAAUAAUAAUAAUAAUAAUAAUAAUAAUAAUAAUAAUAAUAAUAAUAAUAAUAAUAAUAAUAAUAAUAAUAAUAAUAAUAAUAAUAAUAAUAAUAAUAAUAAUAAUAAUAAUAAUAAUAAUAAUAAUAAUAAUAAUAAUAAUAAUAAUAAUAAUAAUAAUAAUAAUAAUAAUAAUAAUAAUAAUAAUAAUAAUAAUAAUAAUAAUAAUAAUAAUAAUAAUAAUAAUAAUAAUAAUAAUAAUAAUAAUAAUAAUAAUAAUAAUAAUAAUAAUAAUAAUAAUAAUAAUAAUAAUAAUAAUAAUAAUAAUAAUAAUAAUAAUAAUAAUAAUAAUAAUAAUAAUAAUAAUAAUAAUAAUAAUAAUAAUAAUAAUAAUAAUAAUAAUAAUAAUAAUAAUAAUAAUAAUAAUAAUAAUAAUAAUAAUAAUAAUAAUAAUAAUAAUAAUAAUAAUAAUAAUAAUAAUAAUAAUAAUAAUAAUAAUAAUAAUAAUAAUAAUAAUAAUAAUAAUAAUAAUAAUAAUAAUAAUAAUAAUAAUAAUAAUAAUAAUAAUAAUAAUAAUAAUAAUAAUAAUAAUAAUAAUAAUAAUAAUAAUAAUAAUAAUAAUAAUAAUAAUAAUAAUAAUAAUAAUAAUAAUAAUAAUAAUAAUAAUAAUAAUAAUAAUAAUAAUAAUAAUAAUAAUAAUAAUAAUAAUAAUAAUAAUAAUAAUAAUAAUAAUAAUAAUAAUAAUAAUAAUAAUAAUAAUAAUAAUAAUAAUAAUAAUAAUAAUAAUAAUAAUAAUAAUAAUAAUAAUAAUAAUAAUAAUAAUAAUAAUAAUAAUAAUAAUAAUAAUAAUAAUAAUAAUAAUAAUAAUAAUAAUAAUAAUAAUAAUAAUAAUAAUAAUAAUAAUAAUAAUAAUAAUAAUAAUAAUAAUAAUAAUAAUAAUAAUAAUAAUAAUAAUAAUAAUAAUAAUAAUAAUAAUAAUAAUAAUAAUAAUAAUAAUAAUAAUAAUAAUAAUAAUAAUAAUAAUAAUAAUAAUAAUAAUAAUAAUAAUAAUAAUAAUAAUAAUAAUAAUAAUAAUAAUAAUAAUAAUAAUAAUAAUAAUAAUAAUAAUAAUAAUAAUAAUAAUAAUAAUAAUAAUAAUAAUAAUAAUAAUAAUAAUAAUAAUAAUAAUAAUAAUAAUAAUAAUAAUAAUAAUAAUAAUAAUAAUAAUAAUAAUAAUAAUAAUAAUAAUAAUAAUAAUAAUAAUAAUAAUAAUAAUAAUAAUAAUAAUAAUAAUAAUAAUAAUAAUAAUAAUAAUAAUAAUAAUAAUAAUAAUAAUAAUAAUAAUAAUAAUAAUAAUAAUAAUAAUAAUAAUAAUAAUAAUAAUAAUAAUAAUAAUAAUAAUAAUAAUAAUAAUAAUAAUAAUAAUAAUAAUAAUAAUAAUAAUAAUAAUAAUAAUAAUAAUAAUAAUAAUAAUAAUAAUAAUAAUAAUAAUAAUAAUAAUAAUAAUAAUAAUAAUAAUAAUAAUAAUAAUAAUAAUAAUAAUAAUAAUAAUAAUAAUAAUAAUAAUAAUAAUAAUAAUAAUAAUAAUAAUAAUAAUAAUAAUAAUAAUAAUAAUAAUAAUAAUAAUAAUAAUAAUAAUAAUAAUAAUAAUAAUAAUAAUAAUAAUAAUAAUAAUAAUAAUAAUAAUAAUAAUAAUAAUAAUAAUAAUAAUAAUAAUAAUAAUAAUAAUAAUAAUAAUAAUAAUAAUAAUAAUAAUAAUAAUAAUAAUAAUAAUAAUAAUAAUAAUAAUAAUAAUAAUAAUAAUAAUAAUAAUAAUAAUAAUAAUAAUAAUAAUAAUAAUAAUAAUAAUAAUAAUAAUAAUAAUAAUAAUAAUAAUAAUAAUAAUAAUAAUAAUAAUAAUAAUAAUAAUAAUAAUAAUAAUAAUAAUAAUAAUAAUAAUAAUAAUAAUAAUAAUAAUAAUAAUAAUAAUAAUAAUAAUAAUAAUAAUAAUAAUAAUAAUAAUAAUAAUAAUAAUAAUAAUAAUAAUAAUAAUAAUAAUAAUAAUAAUAAUAAUAAUAAUAAUAAUAAUAAUAAUAAUAAUAAUAAUAAUAAUAAUAAUAAUAAUAAUAAUAAUAAUAAUAAUAAUAAUAAUAAUAAUAAUAAUAAUAAUAAUAAUAAUAAUAAUAAUAAUAAUAAUAAUAAUAAUAAUAAUAAUAAUAAUAAUAAUAAUAAUAAUAAUAAUAAUAAUAAUAAUAAUAAUAAUAAUAAUAAUAAUAAUAAUAAUAAUAAUAAUAAUAAUAAUAAUAAUAAUAAUAAUAAUAAUAAUAAUAAUAAUAAUAAUAAUAAUAAUAAUAAUAAUAAUAAUAAUAAUAAUAAUAAUAAUAAUAAUAAUAAUAAUAAUAAUAAUAAUAAUAAUAAUAAUAAUAAUAAUAAUAAUAAUAAUAAUAAUAAUAAUAAUAAUAAUAAUAAUAAUAAUAAUAAUAAUAAUAAUAAUAAUAAUAAUAAUAAUAAUAAUAAUAAUAAUAAUAAUAAUAAUAAUAAUAAUAAUAAUAAUAAUAAUAAUAAUAAUAAUAAUAAUAAUAAUAAUAAUAAUAAUAAUAAUAAUAAUAAUAAUAAUAAUAAUAAUAAUAAUAAUAAUAAUAAUAAUAAUAAUAAUAAUAAUAAUAAUAAUAAUAAUAAUAAUAAUAAUAAUAAUAAUAAUAAUAAUAAUAAUAAUAAUAAUAAUAAUAAUAAUAAUAAUAAUAAUAAUAAUAAUAAUAAUAAUAAUAAUAAUAAUAAUAAUAAUAAUAAUAAUAAUAAUAAUAAUAAUAAUAAUAAUAAUAAUAAUAAUAAUAAUAAUAAUAAUAAUAAUAAUAAUAAUAAUAAUAAUAAUAAUAAUAAUAAUAAUAAUAAUAAUAAUAAUAAUAAUAAUAAUAAUAAUAAUAAUAAUAAUAAUAAUAAUAAUAAUAAUAAUAAUAAUAAUAAUAAUAAUAAUAAUAAUAAUAAUAAUAAUAAUAAUAAUAAUAAUAAUAAUAAUAAUAAUAAUAAUAAUAAUAAUAAUAAUAAUAAUAAUAAUAAUAAUAAUAAUAAUAAUAAUAAUAAUAAUAAUAAUAAUAAUAAUAAUAAUAAUAAUAAUAAUAAUAAUAAUAAUAAUAAUAAUAAUAAUAAUAAUAAUAAUAAUAAUAAUAAUAAUAAUAAUAAUAAUAAUAAUAAUAAUAAUAAUAAUAAUAAUAAUAAUAAUAAUAAUAAUAAUAAUAAUAAUAAUAAUAAUAAUAAUAAUAAUAAUAAUAAUAAUAAUAAUAAUAAUAAUAAUAAUAAUAAUAAUAAUAAUAAUAAUAAUAAUAAUAAUAAUAAUAAUAAUAAUAAUAAUAAUAAUAAUAAUAAUAAUAAUAAUAAUAAUAAUAAUAAUAAUAAUAAUAAUAAUAAUAAUAAUAAUAAUAAUAAUAAUAAUAAUAAUAAUAAUAAUAAUAAUAAUAAUAAUAAUAAUAAUAAUAAUAAUAAUAAUAAUAAUAAUAAUAAUAAUAAUAAUAAUAAUAAUAAUAAUAAUAAUAAUAAUAAUAAUAAUAAUAAUAAUAAUAAUAAUAAUAAUAAUAAUAAUAAUAAUAAUAAUAAUAAUAAUAAUAAUAAUAAUAAUAAUAAUAAUAAUAAUAAUAAUAAUAAUAAUAAUAAUAAUAAUAAUAAUAAUAAUAAUAAUAAUAAUAAUAAUAAUAAUAAUAAUAAUAAUAAUAAUAAUAAUAAUAAUAAUAAUAAUAAUAAUAAUAAUAAUAAUAAUAAUAAUAAUAAUAAUAAUAAUAAUAAUAAUAAUAAUAAUAAUAAUAAUAAUAAUAAUAAUAAUAAUAAUAAUAAUAAUAAUAAUAAUAAUAAUAAUAAUAAUAAUAAUAAUAAUAAUAAUAAUAAUAAUAAUAAUAAUAAUAAUAAUAAUAAUAAUAAUAAUAAUAAUAAUAAUAAUAAUAAUAAUAAUAAUAAUAAUAAUAAUAAUAAUAAUAAUAAUAAUAAUAAUAAUAAUAAUAAUAAUAAUAAUAAUAAUAAUAAUAAUAAUAAUAAUAAUAAUAAUAAUAAUAAUAAUAAUAAUAAUAAUAAUAAUAAUAAUAAUAAUAAUAAUAAUAAUAAUAAUAAUAAUAAUAAUAAUAAUAAUAAUAAUAAUAAUAAUAAUAAUAAUAAUAAUAAUAAUAAUAAUAAUAAUAAUAAUAAUAAUAAUAAUAAUAAUAAUAAUAAUAAUAAUAAUAAUAAUAAUAAUAAUAAUAAUAAUAAUAAUAAUAAUAAUAAUAAUAAUAAUAAUAAUAAUAAUAAUAAUAAUAAUAAUAAUAAUAAUAAUAAUAAUAAUAAUAAUAAUAAUAAUAAUAAUAAUAAUAAUAAUAAUAAUAAUAAUAAUAAUAAUAAUAAUAAUAAUAAUAAUAAUAAUAAUAAUAAUAAUAAUAAUAAUAAUAAUAAUAAUAAUAAUAAUAAUAAUAAUAAUAAUAAUAAUAAUAAUAAUAAUAAUAAUAAUAAUAAUAAUAAUAAUAAUAAUAAUAAUAAUAAUAAUAAUAAUAAUAAUAAUAAUAAUAAUAAUAAUAAUAAUAAUAAUAAUAAUAAUAAUAAUAAUAAUAAUAAUAAUAAUAAUAAUAAUAAUAAUAAUAAUAAUAAUAAUAAUAAUAAUAAUAAUAAUAAUAAUAAUAAUAAUAAUAAUAAUAAUAAUAAUAAUAAUAAUAAUAAUAAUAAUAAUAAUAAUAAUAAUAAUAAUAAUAAUAAUAAUAAUAAUAAUAAUAAUAAUAAUAAUAAUAAUAAUAAUAAUAAUAAUAAUAAUAAUAAUAAUAAUAAUAAUAAUAAUAAUAAUAAUAAUAAUAAUAAUAAUAAUAAUAAUAAUAAUAAUAAUAAUAAUAAUAAUAAUAAUAAUAAUAAUAAUAAUAAUAAUAAUAAUAAUAAUAAUAAUAAUAAUAAUAAUAAUAAUAAUAAUAAUAAUAAUAAUAAUAAUAAUAAUAAUAAUAAUAAUAAUAAUAAUAAUAAUAAUAAUAAUAAUAAUAAUAAUAAUAAUAAUAAUAAUAAUAAUAAUAAUAAUAAUAAUAAUAAUAAUAAUAAUAAUAAUAAUAAUAAUAAUAAUAAUAAUAAUAAUAAUAAUAAUAAUAAUAAUAAUAAUAAUAAUAAUAAUAAUAAUAAUAAUAAUAAUAAUAAUAAUAAUAAUAAUAAUAAUAAUAAUAAUAAUAAUAAUAAUAAUAAUAAUAAUAAUAAUAAUAAUAAUAAUAAUAAUAAUAAUAAUAAUAAUAAUAAUAAUAAUAAUAAUAAUAAUAAUAAUAAUAAUAAUAAUAAUAAUAAUAAUAAUAAUAAUAAUAAUAAUAAUAAUAAUAAUAAUAAUAAUAAUAAUAAUAAUAAUAAUAAUAAUAAUAAUAAUAAUAAUAAUAAUAAUAAUAAUAAUAAUAAUAAUAAUAAUAAUAAUAAUAAUAAUAAUAAUAAUAAUAAUAAUAAUAAUAAUAAUAAUAAUAAUAAUAAUAAUAAUAAUAAUAAUAAUAAUAAUAAUAAUAAUAAUAAUAAUAAUAAUAGAGAAGAGAAAAAUUAGAUCUAGGGUUUCUUUCUUUUUCUCCAAUCCAAAAAUCCCCCCUUUUCACAAUAGAUUCCUCCCUUAAAUACUCUCUCUCUCUUCUCCUCUAGAAUUCUAUUUAAAAUAAAAUACUAACAUCUGAAAUAUUAAAUUCGUAAUUACAAAAAUAACCAAAAAUACAAAACACGUUAAACUAAAAACUGCAGGUCCGCAGUUGACAGCACGCGCCCACGCCUUAUCAACAAAGUUCUUCUGACGCUCAUAAUUUCUCCAAGAGAACAAUCAUCCUUAAACAUCAUCUUAUAGCUCAAUUUUAUCAUCAAUCAAUAGAAUUGCACCUACAAAAGUAAAACAUAAGUAAAUCACUAUUAUUAAGUGCAAAACAUUGAUAUUAAGGGAAGUAAAUAAUGCAAAACUAGUGCAUAAAUUGCACUCUAACAGUAAUCAGUAAUCAGCAUUAAAAAUUAAAUUAAAUUAAAUUUUUUUGUUUUUAAUAUUAUUUAGUUAUAGACUUAUUAUUAUAUUUAUUCGUUCAUAAAACUAAAUAAUGUUAAAUCAAAUAAAAUAAUCAGGAAUGGUUCUUAAAAAAUUAAUAUUAUUUAUUUUAUUUUAUUUAAUAUUAUUUAGUCAUAGCCUAUUAUUCUGUUUAUUUUUUGAAAAUUAAAUAAUAUUAAAUAAAAUAGAAUAGAAAAUGUGAGUCCUUAAAAAUAAAAAUUAUUUUUAAUAUUAUUUAUUUUAUUUAAAAGAAUAAAUUUUUUAAUAUUUUUAUUUUAUUAAAAAAUAUUAUUUAAUAUUAUCUAGUCAUAGGCUUAUUAUUAUAUUUCUUCUUUUAGAAAGUUAAAUAGUAUUAAAUGAAAUAAAAUUACAUUUUAGAAGGUCAUUAGCCAAAGCACAUAAACUUAUAAACAAAUGGAAAUAAAAAAGGUAAAUAAUAUUCAAUAAAAUAAAAUUACAUUUUAAAAGGUCACCAACCAAAGCACAUAAUAUUAUAACAAAAAUGUAAAUAAAAAAGAAAGUAAGAGAUUCAAUGAAAUUUAACAUCACAAAAGACAAUUUCAAAAAUUGGGGGUAGCUUGCAACUGUUGCAAAGUGGCUGGUUCCAUAAUUUUGAGAUAAUGUUUCGGUUUCAAAUAUUGUUAUCGAUACCUAAUUAUAAGUAAUAAAAAAAUAUUGUAUAAUUUUUUUACCAACAUUUACAAUACAUUUUAUUUUGAUUUCUGAAAAAAAUAGAUAAAACACAAAUUAAUUAUUUUAACCCUCUAUUCUCUCAAUAUUUAAACUCGAAUAAUCAGUUAAAAGUUGCUCGAGAAUGUUUAAAAGCCAUUUAAGUAUACCACGUCAUUCAUGUUUUGCAAUCAUUCAAUUGUUAAUAAGUUUCCCAUGUGCUGAAAAUAAAUAAAAAUGCACGUGCAUAUGUCAUAUUGUCUCCGAAACCUCACAGCGGAAUGAGUGUAGUACUUGCAAUGCAUGUACUUUAGACUUUGUAUUUCUCUUAUUUAAAUGAUCAAUAAUUUUUCUUUGUCCUUUAAUUAGACGUCAACAGUCGAAGUUGUGGGCAGGUAGUAGGCUAUAUAUAAUAAUUUCCUGGAGAUCUUCCGUCUUCUAAGACAUUGCAAAUGCCAAACGUGAUAACUAUUUUGAUAAUUCAAAUACUACAUAAAAUAUAUGAAGUGUCAGACAAGUCAAAAGAAUUGAUUCUUCACAAUUGUAUAUACGUAUACACACACUUUGCCCAAAUCCCAUUGUAUCCAGGCUGUAAUUUUUAUAUUAAACGAACAUAUUUUAUUUUAUGUCAGCAAUAUUGAUGCAGGCUGGGGGAACAACAGCUUCAGGAUGGUCAACUACCCUUCGGAUCAUUGCAAGUGGGAUGGCAUCACUUGCAAUUCAGAUGGAAGCAUAAUCAGGCUAAAAUUAUCAUGGUGUGAUGUUGACUUCAAAAGGUAAUCUUCGUAAAAUUAUCAUGGUAUAAUAUACGUAUUUAUUUUCGCAUACAUAAAUAAAUAACAAAAUUGUAAUUAAUUGGAUACAGCUUCAGCUUUUGGACUGGUUUGUGAAAAUCAGAAAAAUUUAAAAAUGCUCCUCUUGAACAAUCAAAAUCUACUUUAUACGUGAACAAAGGGGAUGAUUCGUAAAGAUAGUUCAUCAAUGUUUGAUUGCUUUCAAGCGUGUCGAUUACUUUCAGAAAGAAAGACUUCAUUUGAUCUCGUCACAAAACAUAAUUUCACUUUGAAUUUGAAAAAGAAUAAUGAAGUUCAUACAAGUGCUGUUAUGACCUUUUUUUUUUUGUUUUCUUUUUUUCUCGACGUUGUUUUGUGAAUCAUAAGGGUUAAUUUAAUACGGUGGGUUCGCUUGUAUGAAGCGCACUUAUUGUACCAUUCUGUUGCAAGCAAUGAAAAAACGCUAUAAUUUUUUUAAGUUUCUACAAGUAUUAUGUUAUCUUAUAUCUAAAUGUGCAUCUCUAGUCUUUGCUCUCAGUUCAGGUUCUCUAAAAGUAUAUUAAUUAUGAAAAGCAUUAAAGGUUCCGAAACUCUAUUUUGCGGGGAAAAAGAACCUCCAUUUUUGGUUUUUUAUUAUAUGAGAUUUUACUAUGCUCGUAAUAACUUAAUCGAAAUUAAACAUAUCACUGGUCUACAUUUUUUUAUAAGAUUUUGUGACUUGCUAAUUAAGAUGAGUAUCACCAUCAAAUCAACAAGCUUAUACCUUCAAAGAAAAAUAGACUAUAAGUCGGGAGAAAGAAGAAAAAAAAAAAAAAAAGAAUCUUCGCAAUUUAUGCUGUUGGUUGUGAGUUCAUGAAACAAAUAAAAAUAUGAAAUCAAACAUUUAUUCAAAAUUUAAAAUUAAAAAAAAAACUCUAUAUCUACAGUAAUCUGUUCAAACCACAUAGGUGGAGCAAUAUAGUUCCAAGACGUGGUUUUAAAACAUGUCUUUGUGAUAAACAAUAUCGUGAUACUUGCGCCAAUUCCCAUGGCAAUAAUUGCCUACAUUUAUCCAAGAUCCAUGGCCAGGUUUAGAAUGUGCUAGUCUUCUUUCACUUUCAUAAAUAACCACUACUAGGUAAUCAGAGUGUCGGUCUAAAUUUUUCGGAGAUACAACGUCAAUGUAUGUGCCCGGAGUUGAAGCUGAACGCGCUUAAAUAUGUUCGGAAUUUGAAGUUGAACGCCUGGAAAAGGAUGCAGACUGAAGAAAGGCAAUUCCUGGAAUUUGUCUUUGGUAAGAAAACAUGGCUGCUUAUGCCCUUUGAAAGACUGAAGAAACCAAAUUGAUUAUUGCUGCAAUUUAGUGGCACAUGUACGAGGAGAGGCAUCCAAUUAAACUUGUUCAUAAAAGUAUUGCUGAUAGUUGCAGCCGAUCUCCAGACAAAAUCUUCGUACAAUUUUAUCCGCCAGCAAUUUCGACCAAGAGACCUUGAUGCAGUUCAGACCAAUUCGCCAGUUGAACAUCAAGUUGCCUAGGCAUUGAGAAUUAGGUCAAUAAAAUAUAUCCUGGGUCACUUACAAAAGAUGAAAUAAGUGAAAAAGGAAAGAUGACGUAAUAAUUUCUUAGUGAGAAAAGUUAGUUAAUUUGCAAAGGUCUUAGAUAAUCAAUUUGAUGUAAAAAUAUCAAAAUUUUUUUUAAUCAGUGAAAUAUUCAACCUCUAGUUUCAGCACUACAAAUGAAUUAAAUAGAAUAAUGAUAGAUAUUUUAAAAUUUUAUCCCAAAUGAUGUGAUAUGUAAUGUAUCAUUCAUUAAGUAGUUGAUGAUUUUUUUAUAAAUUUUAAGUGGAUUAAUUAUAUUAUUUUACCAACGAGUAAAUAAAUGUCACAUCAUUAGAGAAGAAAUUUUAAGGUAAAACUUUUCAAAUAUAUAUCACUACUCCAUUAAAUAUGGUAUAAAAAAUCUAAUAGGGACCAAAAAUAUAAAAACCCAUUAAAAAUAAAAAAUAUAAAAGUCAAUUCCUAAUUAGAAGAAUGAAAGUUUGUUUCUCCUACAAUCAUUUCACUAGAUUUUAAAUAAAUUAAUUAAUGAAAAUUUUUAAUAACAAAUCGGUGCCUAAACCUAACGUCUUUUUUUUUUUGGUCUUAUCCACGAGGUAUCCUGGGGAGGGCCCCAACUGUGGGAGGCACCUUUAAGCCCGUACCACAACCCAGACUAGAAGUCCCCGCUCGAACCGGGAGGCACAGGUUCUCCCAACAAAGGCGACUUCCCCGCGACUCGAACUGGGGAGCAAACCCAGUCAAGCCACUUAAGGGGACUCCAUUGCCAGUGGAGCCAACACUUUGUUGGUUAAACCUAACGUCUUUGACAGUGCUGCCAAUAUCACUCACAACUUACAAGAAAAUUUUGGUAUUAAAUUUAUUAAUGUUCUCAAGGAAUUUUUAGUUUGACUUUGCAUUCUCAGACCCAUUUGUCACAUAACACGUUAGCAAAGACCUUUAAUGAGAAUAUUAAAACAGCUGUCGAAUAAGCAUCUUGACGACGACUUUUUGACAUAUAUGCAUGCCUCCUUUUGUGAACAAAUUUGAAACAUAAAAGAAAAUUUUGAUCCAUGUGAGAGCUGGAGUAUUUUAUAGCUUUUGACCUCAUUAAUUAUGAGUAAGGGAAUAUUUCUACGUCACUAACGAUUAACAUGAUCACUAUAUAAAGGGAAGCAAAGUAUGUUUAGCAUCAAGUCAGAAAACACAAUUUUUAGGAAAUGGGAACUCUAGGACAGGCGAAGCAAUGGCCUCAAUUGGUUUGUGCUAUGGCAUUUUUGCUCAUAGCCACCACAACCGCAAAGGCAUCAGCUGAUGAUUAUGGCCCAGCACCAUCACCAAAGCAUGCAAAGCACCCUCCAAGCCAUUACAAGCCACCGAAACCACCAAAGCACCACGAGUCACCACCACCAUACUACUAUAACUCACCACCUCCACCAGUACAUUCUCCUCCACCACCUUAUUACUAUAAGUCUCCACCACCACCUUCUCUAUCUCCACCACCUCCUUACUAUUAUAAAUCACCACCACCACCGAAACAUUCUCCUCCACCUCCUUACUACUACAAAUCACCACCUCCUCCUUCUCCCUCUCCACCUCCACCAUAUUAUUACAAGUCUCCCCCACCACCAUCUCCAUCUCCCCCACCGCCUUACUACUAUAAAUCCCCACCACCACCAAAAUAUUCUCCUCCACCACCUUACUACUAUAAGUCACCACCUCCACCAGUGAAAUCUCCACCUCCGCCAUAUUACUAUAAAUCACCACCACCACCAAAACAUUCUCCCCCACCACCUUACUACUACAAGUCACCACCACCACCAAUGCAUUCUCCCCCACCACCUUACUAUUACAAAUCUCCACCACCACCAAAGCAUUCUCCUCCACCACCACCUUAUUACAAAUCACCACCCCCACCACCACCAAAACAUUCUCCCCCACCAC